Molecule: long non-coding RNA, 66693 nt
Filed under: Cucumis sativus (cucumber)
Lineage: Eukaryota; Viridiplantae; Streptophyta; Magnoliopsida; Cucurbitales; Cucurbitaceae
Description: long non-coding RNA (CSAT_LNC001269)
Source: RNAcentral
UUCAUGUUUUUGUGGGUUCGGUCUUGAUGUGAAAACUGAAUUCUCAUAUAAAUCUAAAGAUGAAACACCAAAACAAACUAAGCAAUAAUGUGAAUAUAAUACUUUAUUACAAAUAACACAUAGCUAUAAUUCAUAAAUAUGAAUAUUUAUUGGAUUCUACUUAUAGAAUUAUUAUUUGUUUACUAAUUUAAAUAAUUUUAUGAGUUUUUUUUAUUCUAUAGUUCUUUUCUCAACACAUUUGAUAUUUUUAUAAUUAAAAUUUUUAUAUGACAAUUAAUAAUAAGUGAAGUAGGUAAAUAUAUAUAUAUAUUAAGAAAAAGAGUAAAUCCAAACCUUCUGAAAAUAUAUUUAUUGUAUUUAAAAAACAUUUGCACGUGCCAAAGAAGUUCCCACGUGCACAUUUUCCUCUUUCAAAAUGAAAUUAAAAUCCAUAGGACCCAUCCAACACUCUUCUCCAUGUCCUUUUUUUUUUAAAAAAAAAUUAUUAUUAUUAUUAUUUCCCACUUUAUUUUUUCUUUUUUCUUUUUAGUAAAAGAAAAAAGUUUCACCCAUUAUAUUUGAAUCAAUAAGAUAAAGUAAUGUUCUUUUUUCAAAAUUUGGCUUCACUCAAUUUCAAAACUUAUAUAUAACGAUUCUAUUUUUGUAAAUUCGAAGGAAAACAAUAAUACCAACAAACGUAUAUACACUAAUAUUAAUACCUACAUCGUUUAAAUUUUUUUAAAUUAGUUUCUAAAAAAAUAUAUAAAACAAUUUAGACCAUUUAUUUUUCUUCAAAAUCAUUCAAAUAAGAUUAAUCUUCUCCAAAAUAAAGAGAAAAAGACAAACGGGAUGAAAAUUGCUCGUAUUUAAUCAAAAUUAACUUACAUUAGGGUUUUUUUUUUAUAUUAUUAUUAUACUUUGAAGCAUUAAUAAAUAUUAUCUCUAAACUUUAGGAUCUUACAAUUUUUAUGUUAUGUAAAACAUAAUGUGAUCAUUAUAAAUCCAUUAAUAUCACUAUUGAAACAUAUAUUAUCAUUUCAUACUAUCUUUAACAACUAAUUCCUAAUUCCUACAGACUACCGACUUUAGAUUCCAGCUAUAUAGUAGAAUUGGAAAUCACUUUGUAAUAAAUUUUGUUAUUUUCAAUUUUUUUAAAGAUUGAUUAUUUUAAAAAAGAAAAAAAAUGAUGAUUACCAUUUAAUAUUGUUAAUCUAGCUAGAACAAACAAAAACAUAACAUUCAAAAUCAUAGUAUAAAAUUAUAAAUGGUAAAGAAAAUGUAAUUUUUAAUAGUAGGUUUUUUCUUUUUUUAGGAAAACAGUAAGUCUAUUUUAGUUACUAUUUCUCGAAUACAAUAAUUUAGUAUUUCUUUAUCCUAACACUACACCAAUUAUUAAGCCUAAGGUUGGAUGUUAUCAAAUUAUACUAAUUUGUUUCCUACAUUAGAAUGAAUUUUUUAAAGCUGUAUUUUCAACUAAAAGUUGCAAAUAUUUAAAAAGUAAUUUUUUUUUAAAAAAAAAAACUCAUGAUUGAAAUCAUCAUAUCUUACAGAUUUUAGUCCCAGCCAUUAGUUAUAUUUGCUGCCAUCAUUUAGCAGUAAUUUUUUUUUAAGAAAAAAGAAGUUUGUAGUAUAAGCCAUAUUGAGGUUAAGACAUUUCCAUCAAAGCAAGUCAACCCACUAAUUAUUUCAAUAAUACCCUGAAUAUAUAAUUGGAGAUCAUAGGUUUACAUCAUCACCCAUUUGAAAAUGUUAAAGAGUAAAUAUUUUAUUUCAUUAUGGGGAUUUAUUAAUGAAGAAGGUUAGGGACUGAAAUACAAAGUUACAUAUAGCAGUCUAAACUAAAGAAAAAAGGCAAAGGGGGAAAAGUAUUAAGCCAUAAAAGAAACACUUUAAAAGCAAAAGUAUAGCUAGCCAGAGAAUGGACGACAAAAUUACAAAUUGUGGAAGGGAGGAAUGAGAUAACGAAAAGGAAAGAAAGCAUGUCUAGAGAUGCUCCACCCUUGUUUAGCCAAAACACUGAUUUUGAGAUUUUGUACGACUCUAAUAGGGUUUAGUGUUAAUGAAGAAGAGAUGGUGACAUACAAAUUGUCCACGUAUAUUCAAAAACUUAAGUUGGUAGGUGGAGACGAAUUUGAUUAUAUAUAUAUAUGUGCUCAAUUAUGAAUGAUGAUUCAACUUGUUCUAUAGAAAACAUGUACAGAAUGGUUGAAAAAUGGUAAGAAAUAUAACAUGAUUUUACUUUUUAAAUAGGAUUGACAUCUCUGUUAUAUUUAAUAAGAAAAAAGGAGGAUUCAUUUAAAAACAAAAAACAAAUUGUUUGUUUAUUAAUUAAAUCCGCAAUAUAAUAGGGAUGUACAGCCGCCCAAAAGAGCCAUCCAUUUUCCAAUUCUCUCAUUCUCUCCAAAAACAAAACACAACCACACAAACAACUUCUCUCAAAGAUUCCAACCUUCCCCCUCUCCAGAAAAAGAUAAAAAAGAAAAACCAGAUGAAAUUCAAAACCCUUUUUCUUCUUGAUCUUAACAAGAAGAGAAACUAACGAAUUUCCAGUAGCGCCCGCGCCACUGUCGCGAUGAGCCAUCUCGAAGACUCUCUAAGAUCCCUUUCUUUAGACUAUCUUAAUCUUCUAAUCAACGGUCAAGCCUUUAGCGACGUGACGUUCAGCGUCGAGGGGCGUCUUGUCCACGCGCACCGAUGCAUCUUGGCGGCUAGGAGUUUGUUUUUCAGAAAAUUCUUUUGUGGGACGACGACGGAGGCGGGUGCGUCAUCCGGGUUGAGCCCGGUUGGAUCGCCGUCUCCGUCGACAGGGAGUAGUAGUACACAAGUGAUUCCAGUAAAUUCGGUGGGGUAUGAAGUGUUUUUGUUGUUGUUGCAAUUUUUGUAUAGUGGACAAGUUUCUAUUGUGCCACAGAAACAAGAACCAAGGCCUAAUUGUGGUGAUAGAGCUUGUUGGCAUACACAUUGUACCUCCGCCGUUGAUCUUGCCCUUCAUACUCUCUCCGCCGCUAGAUCCUUUGGCGUUGAACAGCUCGCAUUACUUACUCAGGUCAGCUCUCUCUCUCUCUCUCUCUCUUUUGGGUUUUUGAUUUCUUAUUAUCCCAUGUGGGUAUUUGAAUUUUUUUUAUGUUGAUGAACUUGUGGAAUUUUUUGAAACUUUUUACCUGAAAAACUAUGUUGAUGAAUUUGUGGAGUUUUUUCUAGGUCUCUUUUAAGUAAUAUGUAUAAUUUCUUUGUUUAAGAAAACACUUUCUAAAUUGAGUUUUUUUUUAAGAGGGUCUAUAUAUUAUGGAUUCAUUUAUACUCAUAUUUUUUGAAAAUUCACUUUCCUCAUUUGGGUUUUUGUUGGAAAUGAAAAUUUUUGAUUAGAAGCUACUCAAUCUAAUUUUUUUAAUGAAUUAAGAUUUUUUUUAUAAUAGGAAAGGGGAAAUAUUAUUCUUUUUAUUAUAGCAUUAUGUGUUUUUAUUUUGGUGUUUGGAUUUUUUUCUCUAUUAUUUGAUUUACUUUUUUGUUUAUUUAUGCAGAAGCAAUUGGCAAGUAUGGUGGAGAAAGCUUCCAUUGAAGAUGUAAUGAAGGUUUUAUUAGCUUCAAGAAAACAAGACAUGCAUCAACUUUGGUCCACUUGUUCUCAUCUUGUAGCUAAAUCCGGUCUCCCACCCGAGGUACUUGCCAAACACCUUCCGAUCGAUAUCGUAGCGAAGAUAGAAGAACUUCGCAUAAAGUCUUCUUUAGCGCGUCGUUCUCUAAUGCCUCAUCACCACCACCACCACCAUCACGAUCUUUCGGUUGCUGCCGACCUCGAAGACCAAAAGAUUCGUCGUAUGAGGAGGGCUUUAGACUCCUCCGACGUUGAGCUUGUUAAACUGAUGGUGAUGGGUGAAGGUUUGAAUCUUGAUGAAGCUUUAGCCUUACAUUAUGCUGUUGAGAAUUGUAGCCGUGAAGUUGUUAAGGCUUUGCUUGAGCUCGGUGCCGCUGAUGUUAACUACCCUGCUGGCCCGGCGGGGAAAACCCCACUUCACAUGGCGGCGGAAAUGGUUUCGCCCGACAUGGUUGCUGUGCUACUUGACCACCAUGCUGACCCAAAUGUCCGAACCGUCGAUGGUGUCACACCAUUGGAUAUCUUAAGAACCCUAACUUCAGAUUUUCUCUUCAAAGGUGCGGUCCCGGGAUUAACCCACAUCGAACCAAACAAGCUCAGGCUCUGCCUCGAGCUUGUCCAAUCCGCUGCAUUGGUUCUCUCUCGCGAAGAAGAAAAUGCCAACGCCAACGCCAACGUCAACGUUUCAUCAUCUCCAAUUUACCCACCGAUGAGUGAGGAUCAUAGCAGUAGUAGCAGCAACAACAACAAUAUUGGUAAUCUCAAUCUCGAUUCGAGAUUGGUUUACCUAAAUCUCGGGGCAUCGGGACGAAUGGGAGGUUCUAGAGUGGACGGAGAAGAUGACAACAGACAUGGAUCACAAGGAGGAGGAGGAUGUAUCCCAACAAUGUACCACCAUUCCCAUGACUUUCGAUGAAAAUUAAGCAUAACAUCAAAAUCUCUUAUUAUAUAAAAAUUUCACAAAACAUCAUCAUCUAAAUUAGAAUUCAAAAGGGGGUUAAAAAUGUUGAUUGAAAAAGGUAACCAAGAUCAUCAGCUAGGCUUUCUUGGGAAUCAAAUUAUCAUUGGAUCAAUUAUAUGUUUACAAUAUGUCAGCUUUGUUUAUUUUUUUAAAAUUUAUCUUCAAUUAAUUCAGUUUUUUUACCUCUCUUUUUCUCUAUAUGCCUUGUAUGUUUUUUUCUUUUUUUCUUUUGUAGGGAUCUUGAGUUGAAGUGAUGAAGGUAUGAAGUAAGAGAAGUACUCAAAAAUUGUGAGAAAUCAAAUGAGAUGAGACAAGAGAAAGAAUCUGACAUUAAAUUUCCCUUUAAAAAAUUUCUUUCUGCUUCUUCUGAUUGGAACACAGUCUCUCAGGUCAAUCUUUUCAAACCCUUUUGGUCUUUUUUUUCAUAUACUUCUAAUUCCUAUUAAUUAAUAUAUCUUUUCUACCCUAAAUUCUAUAUAUAUAUACACAAUAAUACGAUAAUAUAAUAUUCAUUUCAAACUUAUCAUAAUGAAAAACUUUUGUGGGUUCUAAUAAUAAUAACAAUAAAUUAAAACUAUAGUCUAAUUAGUUUAUAUCAUUUUGGGCCCUUUGUUAUUUCAUUUUCCCACUUCUUAAUAUUAUUGUGUCCCCCACCUGCCCUCCAUAAUGCAAAUUAGUGAAUGCAAUAACUUUUGGUUUUAUAUGCAAUGGGAUCUCUCUAUUAUAUCCUAACUUCUUCUUCUCAUGUAUCUCAUUAAUAUUUCUAGAAAGAAAUGUAUUUAAUCGUACUUAUUUUUGUACAUAUCAUUUAGACUAUUUGUCACGUAACAAAUUUUUUUUAUAUUUAUAAUUAAAGUAGGAAGAUGUUCCUCUUAUAACUUUUUUUUUAAUCUUAGAUUCAUGAACUGAGAUUAGGAAAGGAAGCUUAGAAGAAGAGAAGAGAAAUGGGAAUGGGGAAAGAAUAAUAUUUCUCCCAAUAUAAACUUUUUACUACUGCCCAUUCCAAGCUAUAUAUUGGUUGAUAUAUCAAAUUUAUCAUGGGUAGCUUUAUUUUUUUCAAUUGAAGGAUUAUUAUAUUUUAAUUUACUUUGGUGUAUAGUUUGAUUUUAGUUUAUUUAGAUUAUUGAUAGACAAGUAUAUCUAAUAUCAAUUAAUUAUUGAUUGAUUAGUAUAUAAUUGAUUCCAACUAGACAUACAAAAAAAUUAGGAAGUUCAUAUUUCAAUUCAAUUAGGUUUAGUUUUACAUUAUUUGAUCAAAUAUUUUCUUUCUAGAAAAACAUUACAUUAUAAAAUUAAAAAUGUCACUUCUUGUCAAAAUUUUGGCACAUAUGUCUAGAUAAGAUAGGGGAUAUUGACUAAAAGGUUUUUGCUUUUCAAACUUUUUGAGAGAUGGAUUUAUUUGAUUUUUGGUUAGUUGAUCAUAUUGAUUAAUUAAACAUCAUCUAUAUAUUGGGUUAUGGAAAAACUCAAUUUGGGUAUGACCUUGACUAAUAAAAAAAUUAAUUUUGUGGUGAAAAGAGAAGAGAAGUUGUGGCUGUCAUGCAUGAGUGCAACAUUGAAUGUGGCCCAAAACAUUGAUUGAAGUUAUUAAAUAUAUCUAAAGAUGGAUUCUCUUCUUCCUCUAAAUACUCUAUUCUGUCCCCUUUUCUUUUCUUUUUUUUUUCUCUUUCCUUAUUUGGGAUUGGUUUGAAUUUCAAAACCCUAACCUACCUCUUUGUUUCUCUUUUUAUUAUUACAUGUUAUGUUAAGGUUUUGUUUGGUUGUUGUUUUAAUUAAUGUAUUGUGUGUGUUCUUUAAGAAUUUAUUGACCCCAAAAAUUACACCAUAUAAUUUGCUGCCAACCCAUGUAAGUUUUUCUACCCUCUUUAGUCCUUUGUAAAUACCAAAAGUACUUUUGGGAGAUUUAAUUGCUUUGGUGAGAGCAUUUAACUAGGGAGGAAAUUAAAAUGAAGAUAGUUUUAAUUUGGUUAUUUAAUGUUUUAGGAUUAUUGUAAUUCAAUCAUGUGGAGUGAGGAUUUGAUAGUUCCUCUAUUCAGUUAUAUAGUCAACUUUGAUUUGCAUGUUUGGUUGUCGAUAAAGUGUUUUGGUUAUUGUAUUUUUCGAAAUGGCUCGAGUGAAAUUAAUGAUUUCAAGAUGUCUCGAUACUUGGAGGAGUUACUUAUGUGUUACUCAAGUUAUGUUUAGGUCAAUUUUGUUUUAUGUUUUUGUUAUAAUAGAUAUGUAAAAUAGACGUUCGUAAGGACCAUUCUAGUCAAUUAUGCAUGUUCAUUGUUACUACUUUGAGUUAUUUGGUAAUUAUACUACUUUUACUAUUUAUCAAAAGCUCGUACGUAUAUCGCUCAAAAGCUUAUGCGCUACCUAUUAGACACUUUUAAAAUGACUAACUAAUGUUGGAUUGCAGGGUUUGUAUACCUUCUGGGUUGUUUGAGAGAAGGAUCAAAAUUGGGUGUUUCUCUCAUCCCUUUAUAAGUUAGUGUUAAAUAAUUUUCACUUUCAAUUCGUACAUUUAUCCAUUAACAUCGUCUUUCCUACCUUCUUUCUUCCUAUUUUCCUAACUUUAAGACUAUGUAAUAACUCUCCACGCACCAUUAAAAUUCACUUGAUCAAUGUAUUCUAACAGCCCCAAAAGACAUUAACUCAUUUCCACUAUGAUUAGUUAGAUAAGUCAUAAGUGGUAAAAUUUCGAAAGACGUGCUUAAAACAAAUGGGCAAGGCAAAAAGAAAAUGGUACACUAAUUGUAUAGUCUUGGAAUGUAAAUAAAAGAGGGAAAAUAUUCUUUUUUUUCUUGUGUUUUAAUUCCAGUUACUAUUUGAUUCUUAGGUUUGUAAUGUAUUUUUGGUAUUACGUUUUAAGUUUUGAGUUGUAUUUCAAAUUAAUUCUUAAAUUUUAACAUGGUUACAAUUUUAUAUUUGGGAGGUUUGAGUUUUAUUUUUUUUAAUUUGAUACGAAAGUUUCAGCUUCUUUUACUUUCAAAGUCAUAUUUAUCCAACUUCAACAAUAUUUGAUAUACAUAUACACUUUUCUUCGAAGUAAGCUCAUAUUAGUUGUACUUUAAGAACAAAAUUAGUCACUCUAAGUAUAACUUAGUGGAAAAAAAAUACUAAUAUCAAUUUUUACAAACCUCAACGGUUUGAUUGUACACACUACAAUUAUUGAAUCGAGACAUCGACAUUUUAAAUUAAGGUCAUUUACGUUGUAUUGUAUGUAUACAAUACAUAAGAAUGGACUAGGAGUUUAGAGACUCGAUCACAUAUAUACAUAUAUUAUAGCUUUAGUGUAUAUUUGUGGUGGAGGAUUAUUAAAUACAAGCAUCCCAUUAUCUCUAUUUGGGCGUGUUGUUGUUGAUUAUUUAUUUAUUUACUUUUUAAAAGGGUGUUGCUGAAGUUAUGAUGCCUCAUUAUUCAUUUAAUUAAACUUAUACAUAGUUGAUUAUUAGAGGGAUUGAAACCUUAUUGAAAACUAACACAUCUACGUACGUCUAAGUUGGGUUUGCUCAUUAUUUUGUGUUUGAUUAGUUUAUAAAAUAUUUGACUAAUAGGAUUCACUGGAUAUAUAAUGCUCGAAAUCUAAUCAAAUAAUGGUUAGUUUUUUUUUUUUUUUUUUCCUUUUUUGUGUUUUAAAGAAAGAGCAGAAUAAAAAGCUUUAACUUCCUUUUGCAUAAUUUUAGCUUUUGUUAGGUGUAUGAAUUUGGGAGAUUAAUUAUUCUUUGUCAUUGCUUUCACAAAGCACUAAAACUUUGGUCUAAAACGGAAGUUGGGACACUGACUUUUUAGAGUGUUAUGGAAUAUAUAAAGAUUUUGAACCAACACAAAUUAGCCAAGUUGAUAGACAACCAUAUGCUAAUGUUGGCAAUGACACUUUUUAAUCAAUUUGGCGGGGCACCAAACUCAAUUCAAAUCAAAUUAUAGCUAAACCACAACAUUAAUCAAUAUAAUUAUAAAAAAAAAUACCACUAUCUUCUUAUCAUAGAUACACAUUGUAGUCCCUUUCGAUGAACUUAUAUUGUGGGUGAUAAAUUGACACUAUCUAGAGGUUUUGAUAUAAUCACUAGUCUUUACCUUCUCUAACUAACUUACUUGUCCAUCAAUAAAUGAGAAUAAAAGGUAAAAUAAGAAACUGAGAUGAAUUUAUACAUUCUUAAAAGUGAUUAACUGAUAGAAUUUAGGACGUUUGGAAUAAUUGAAUUCUAGUCAAGAUGAGCACUAAACAAAUGUAUGCCCUAUCACUCCCACUUGUAUUGGUUUUUCCAUUGAGUCCUUCAAUAGGGUAUGUGGAAGUGGAACCCAUCCAUCCUCGAGUACAAUAAAAAGAUGAUAAAUUCAAACUAUAGACCUUUUGUUUUGCUAAUACGUCAGGUAUGUAUAUGAUACAAAUCUCUCAAGUAACAAAUUAAAUACAUAUAUAUUCUCAAGAAUAAAUAAAUAAAUAAGUAAAAAUAAAGUGGUUCUUAAAAAUGGGUUUAUUAAUCUCUACUUUUCUCAACUACACAUUAGACACUUGAGUAAAUAUUCUAAUUUUUUGACAUAAUUCUAAAUAUAGUAACAAGAAAAGGGCAGUUAUGUCACUAAAACUUUCUUUGGACGAUUCAGGUGUAGCCUUGUUUACUUGGAGGAAGCUCAAAAAUUAGCCAAAACUCCCGUUCAUUCAGCCUUCUCUCGGACACAGUCUUCUUUAUGAAACAUAGCAUAUUGAUCCUCAAGUCCUACAUUCAAAGACCAAUCAUGUUGGUAAUAAUAGGGAUAUCAAAAUGCAAAACUAAACACUACAAUGCAAGUAGAGGGAAUCUCUAUAUUAUUUUCUGGUUCUUUAAAAUAUUAGUUCACGGUUGUUUUAUUUUCAUUAUCGAACAUUGGGUAUUUACAUUGACAAGUAUUUGAACACAUGUUGUGAGUCAAACAUAAAGUUUUCAAAUUUUUGUUUAAUGGUGACACUAUGAUAGAACCUAAAUAUACCAAUAUAAAUGGUAACCAAACUAUAAAAUAAACUAAAGUUUUUUCCAAUCUUGAGAUUAAUCUAAAGCCCUAGUUUACUCACCAAAAUAUUGCCUACCCUCCUCAUUCCCCUACCAUAUUUAUAACCAAGAAUAACAAACUCUCUAGCUAAUUACUAAUUACCUUCAAUACUCGGUCCCUGAUGCCAUCUCUAUCACACUAAUCACAAUGAAAAGAGACCUUGUAUUUCUUAUCAGGAAAGAAACAUAAGUUGAGUUGGCUGGGGAAGAAACAUUUAUACUUUGGGCAAAUUGAAAAAAUGGGAGGGGAAGUUGUUGGGAUUUUCUUCAAGUGUUUCUAUGCGUUUAAGUUAUAAAUGGUGAGAUUUUUUAAAUCCUAUGGUUUCAUCUGAACAGAAGUUUGAGGGAUAACCUGUUGAAGAGAACAUCUGUACAACAACCAAGAACUUAGGUAAUUGCCCAAAACUUCUUUCUACAGAUCAGCACAGAUUCUGGGUUAUUAUCUUUCGUUUGCAGUGUCUGCAUUUCAACAUCCCAUAGAUAUUUGGAAGCAAUUUCUUGUAUUCUUGAUGUUAUUGAAGGUUCGUCUCUGAUGAUUAUGUAUCCCUGUACAUGAAAAUGAUUCAAAGACAAUUUGAAGCAUAAAUUAGAAACAGUAGAAGAUAUGCCAAUAGGCAGAUUACGCUUGCUUCUCCCUUCCUAAAUUUUAGCAUUAUGGGAGGAGAUCUCCGUUACAAAGAACUUUGAUAACAGAAAUGUCAUGCCCAUGAAAUCUUACAAGAACAGAGAAAUGGAUACAUCAUACAGCAUUACGGUGACAUGCUAUUUUCUAAAAAUCUAGACAUACUAAGCAUUGUUCAGGACAUGUUUAUUAGAAUGUGCAUUUCUUAGAUAUACAUUCUUUAGAUAUUCGUUAAAAAUUCCUGUGCUAACCCUUUUAACUUAAGAUAUUUUCAUGCCAGAGAUAAUGUAAAAGAAGUAAAGAUAGCAAUACUUGAAGAGUUUGGAGAAACUAAUGAACUAUUUCUCAUGGUACAAUGACUAAUAUCAAACUUUUCAAAUGCAUAGAACAAACUAACAUUUUUGUUGAAAUUUAAAGCGACAACAUGGAUUAUAUGUGCUAGUAAAAAAUUAUAUAGUUAGACAAAAAGUUUAGUCCAUGAACUUGGAUGUAUUUAAAAGAUCUUUAAAUGUUAAGAAGCUCCAACGAAGGGCAUUUUUGGCCCAAAGAGUAGGAGAUUAGGGGAAGUGGAGUGGACUUCCCUCCUUGUUUGGUCAAAGAAGCUUGUGGACCCCACACACUUAAACAACUCUCCAAUUUUAACAACUACCCAAACUAAACAACUUCACUCCUUACCCAAAUGCCCCCCCCAUAAAUCUCAAAACUUUUAGUUUUAUGUUCCAUAUGUUCCUUAACUUUAUAAAUGUUUAAAUCCUUCAUCUUUCAUUUUUUUAUCUAUUAAGUCAUUGUCAUUGAUUUAUUAAUCAAACAUUUUGUAAACUAUUAAACAAAAUAGAAAAUUGAGGGCCUAUAAAAUGAUUUUAAAGUUCAAAAACUUGUCGACACAAAAUUAAAAGUGUAUAAACCUAUUAAGCUAUUACAUACUCUUUUAAGUUGAGAGAUUUAUAAAACACAACUAAAGGACUAGACUUAAAUUUUUAAUUAGACCUUAGGGGGCGUUAAAGACAAGGACUAUCCUAAGACUAUAAUAACUACCUCUUGCUACAGCUACAGUGAAUACUCUUUUAUACUCCCAAUUUAGCUGAAGUCAACACUAUUUCAAAGGCCCUCAUUUCCUACAAUAUUUACUAUUUGCUAAAGUUUUUACUAUUUUACAUUUUCAUUAAUUUUUAUUAUUUACUAGUCUCCUAUUUCCUUCUCAAACUAAAGUAGUUUACACCUCACACGCAUACUUUUAUAACCCAAACUAAAAUAAUCUACGUACCAAACACAAACUAUUAUAACUAAUCUAUAAUAACCAACUCCUUGUCCCAAACAACCCCCUGCUAAUUUUAUCCUAAUAUUUGUCCAUGUUUGUACUUUCUAUAUUAUGUGUGUAUAAAUAAAUAAAAUAGAUACUUUAGGUCCUUCAUUUGUUUAGUAGGGUCGUAAUUUCUAUAAUUUGACAUGUAUUUAUUAUACUUAAGCGUUCAAUUCGAGUCCAAUCAUUUUUAGACUCCUUUAAUUCAUUCAAUUUUUGUUAAUGAGUGUCAAACUUGUGUCUAUCAUACUUGAGAACUGUUGGACACAAGUACAAUAAGGAGUAGUGUGGAUCUGACGCAGACACAUGCGUAAGCUCAAAUGGAAGUGUCCAUGCUUCAAAGCAAAUCUUAUUUAGUUCACCAAAUGCACAAGGGUCGUGUUGUGAUGUCCUUUUUGUUUCCUGUUAUUGUUUCAGAUUGUUGAGAAAUGUGUGUUUGGUAGUUUUUGUAUUUUGUCAAGGUUGAUUGUUCCUUUUUAUUUCAUAAGAAAUAUCAAGAGUAGAUUCCAAAAAAAGGAACAAGAACAGCCUAUAGGCCGACCACAGGGUCAAUUAUUACAUGACUCUGGUUUCUUGUUUUUAAGAAAUAAUUUUAAAAUAAAAGACACGGCUAGAGAUUUGAUUUCUUCUCUAAUUUUCAUGGUAUAAAAAUUGAAGUUAGAAUUAUUGUCUUAUCAAGUUCAGUCACAUAAUUCAUAAUAAAUCCAAAUUAUUUUGACUAUUUGAAUAUUUAAAAAAAACAAAUAAAGUUUUCUAUUAAUUUAAAGUUCUAAAAAAAAGGAAUUUCCAAACAUAUUUCUAUUUCUAUAAGACCAAAAUGCAUUUUUGUCUUACUUUUAAAAUUUUGGAAAACAAAAACCAAAUAUUGAGAAACAACAAACAAGAGAGGUAAACAGAUUAAUCAAAACUUUUACGAUGCUAAACACAUAGGCAAAAGAAAAUGCAUUAUGCAAGCAAUGGUAGCAACGGUUAUACCAGAAAAACGGAGGUCUCAAGCAUAGCAUCAAUAUCUGCCAAAAGUAAUUUCCCUAGUUUUGUCUCUUCUUGUGGCUAUUACAAGCUUGAAAAUUGAAGGAAUCAAAUUAAUUACCUGAGGUCGUACAAUGCGGUCCAUUUCCAACAUUAUAUCCUCCAGCAAGCAACCCUCUCCACCACUUUUAUACUGAGAAAAUAGACGGUAUGCAUGCAACAAAUCGUAUGUGCGCGGAUAAGUUGAAAAUGGUUCACACCUACAUUAUAAGAGAUAUUAGAAAACCAAACAUUCAUUAAGAAAAACGAAAGAAACCAAACGGGCAGUAAUAAAAACAAAAACAAAUAAACAAACGAACAAAUCUAUGCAUAAGAGACCUAAGACGCUAACCAAAAAAAGCAAGAAAGCUGACCAUGGCUCAUACCUUUCCCGAGACAGCCCCCAAAAGAGUUCUAUUUUUUUUCCCAAAGCAAUAGAAGUGUUUGCAUGCCAAACAGUAUAAUACUUCUAAUAUUUGGAAGAUGUUGGAGAACAAAUAACUUACCAAUCAUGAAAGACACCAACCAGGCCCCGGUCAUAUAUAGCAGAGAGCGUGUUUUUCAUCUUUAUAGGAACUACAUUCAUAACCCAGACUGGAAAAUUGUUCAAUGCCACUGCAAAUCCACCAUAGAGAGCAUUCAUGUCCAUGACAUUUCGAAUAUCAGUUUCACUGACAUUCAUCAGUUUCCAGUACUGGUUAACUUGAUCUUUCCAAUAUAAGGUAUCCAAAUCAAAUUCCUCUUGACUAACACCUGUGAUUGAAGACAACAAUAUCAUCAUAAAACACAGCAAUCAGAUUUUCUAGGUAAGAGAAAAUAGAAACUAAGAAUAAUCGAGGCACUUCUUAGGAAGGAAAACUAACAAAGGUUCACCUCGUACAAUUUGCUAGCUCAAUGGUUUUAACCAAUACCAUUAAUAAAAAAGAUUGAUUUACUCAAGACUGAGAAUAAGAAAUAAUUGGAAGGAAAUCAAUGGGAAUAGAAGCGGUAAUCCUAUGUUUACUUGGAAGUAACUAUAAAUAGACUUAGCAGCCUAUGCGUGCCACUUAUUACAUUAGAAAUAAGAACAAGACAUUACAAUUACCGAAACGUUCCUUCAACACACCAACGAACUAAGAAUAUAUUAAUCAUAAAAAAUACCAAUAGAAUUUUGGGUCGUUUUCAAAUAUAGUAAAAUUAACCAAAAUAUUUACAAAUAUAGUAAAUAUCACAGUCUUUGUCUACAUAUGUCAUGAUAGACACACGCACAAUCUAUUGCAAAUAGUCCUAUCUUGUUAUGUUUGUAAAUAUUUUCAGGAGUGGUAUCAUUUAAAAUUAUUUUCCUAAAAGUUUUAUAUUAGAAGAAUACUUAUUAGUAAUAAAUUUUAAUUUAUUUUAUUGUCCAUAAAUAGUAAUAAAAUAUAUCUCAACACUUAUUUGAUUCAACAAAUAAUAACAAACUAAAAAUAAAUAAUUAACAAAUUAGGUAAAAGUCUGAAAUCAUGGAUAGUAAAGGCUCAAUUGGAGAGAAAAAAAAGGAAAGGAGUGUUGUUAAAUAUUCGUCAUUUUCUGGACAUUCUUUUCAGUCUAAUUUUGAAUUAACAGUUGAGGUUCAAUGAUAAAUAGUCUUGAAAUCCCUUAGAACUUUAAAUAGUGAUAGAUUAAAUAAAUAAAUAAGCUACCAUUCCAAACAGUUUUUUAAAGUGAAGACAACUACAUCAAGUUAUCAAAGUUAUUAUUCAAAAGAAAAACACUCAGGAAAUCCACAAAUAGGCCACCGAGAUAUAAUUUCUGCUUUUGAAUGAGAGCUUGGUGAAUUGAAGAACCAAAAACAACUAGGAGGAUUCCUUUAGAAAGAAAAGGUAUACCUAUUUUCCGUAGAUUCCUUGAAUAUACUGAAAGGCGCUCUGGUCUUGGAGGUAACUUCUGAGCAUAUGACUGAUCAGUUACGUGAAUACAGUUUCUUAAAGGUAUUUUCCAUGAUGGUUGAAAAUCAUCCACAGCAUCACAUAUUUCCACAGCCUUAUUCUCUGCAUUGAUGAUGAGGCAUGCCGGAUUUUCCUGUUUGAUCCAGAUUGCAGUCUGAACCUUUCUGGCAAUGAGCUUCCAGCACAUUGCUGUAGUCAGAUUCACCAGUUUCUCCCAUAUCAUUGGGUAUUCUUUAUCUUUUCUAUAGGCAGGGGGUGCUGAAUAGACAAAAUAUCCAUUUGGUCGCAGAAGCCGAUCAACUUCUUUGAGUAAAAUACCAUCUGCAAGAAUAAAGACAGUGAAAGUUUAAUGACUUUCAAGUAUAAAUCAAAACGGUAAAAUUGACAAGAUUCAGGGUGAAGGCAUAUGAGAGCCUUCAUAAAAAAUUCAGUGUAUCAUGUCACAUUAUCACCCAAAAAGGAAUCUGAACUUAUUCAGCACUGACAAAGUAAACAAGUAGCAACUUUCUUACAGUUGGUAACUAUAAACGUGGACAUGGAUAAUGGCAUUGUGGUCUUCAUUUAUCUUAAUGCUGCUCUAGAGGUUUCAUAAGAUCAUUAGUCCUUUUUCCGUUAUUUAGAAGAUAAACAUAAAUAUUUUCUCUUCUUUUCUUUUUUCCAUCAAGUGACAAAAUUUCUCGUGGAAGAGAUGAAUAAAGAUCAAUGCUCAAAAAUGGCAUACAAACUCUCUAUAGCGCAUAAAGAAAAGUAGCAAGUGAGAAUAACAAAUAAUAAGUAAUGGCUGUUCAUAAAGAGUACUGGAAUACCAUUUUCAUGCCAAUCAACACGACACCUAGAGCAGUGGACCAUCUCAAAGGAACUUGUGGGAUACGGCAGUUGAUUUGUUGCCAAGGCAGAAAUCAUUGCACCAAUACCUCUCUCUAGCGCAAAUUGAAUCUGAUUCUCAUGCCCGUCCUUGGGAGCAAAGGACAUCGUUUGGAUGCCCAAUGAAAGAAGAUAAGCUGAGAAACUAGCAACGCCACAACCAACAUCUAAAACCUGAUAUACUCCAGCAGAGCUCAGAGUGCCUGUAUCAUUUGUAGUCAUGUUUCCUAAUCUGCGUUAGAAUAAAAUUUGAUCAAUAGAACAGUCUGAGAAGAAAAUCUAAUCAGUAAUUCAGAUUGAUCAUAAAUACAAGGAAUCCAUUUUAAUAUUACUUCCCAAAUUGAAAAUCAAAUUAGAACAGCGGAAGGAUGAAUAUGAACCGACUGAUUAAAGGGUAUGAGUAUAUUCACAUCCCAAUAAGGAAACAAAAUAAAGAGGAAAAGGGAAGAUUCAAUAAGAGGCAACAACGCUACCUUUGGAUGUACUCAGGCGCCCCAUGUUUGAAGUGAGUACCACCUCCAGGAAACCACCAUAGUUGGUCCUUCUCAUGGACCCAAUUUUGUCCUCCUUUAACUUCAGCAAGGCGUGUGUGAUUCACAUUACUUCGCCACACAUAAUCCCGACUGGUUGGCCACUUUACUGGGAUCUUGUAGUCUUCUGGUGGAGGUACCAAACAAAACAAGCGGUUAUCAAGUGGAGGGCAGUGCCUCUCGAGCUCUUCUUUUCUUGAAAGAUCCAAUGUAGGAAUCAAUUCUUUUAUGUAAGAAAUGUCGUGGCAAGGAAUAUACUCGGUGUAGUUUAAAGGACAUACAUCCACACCAUUCUCUGGAAUCGAAAGUGGUACCUUCCUGUAAGUGAUUGAAACUUGGUUUGGAAUUGUGGAAUUUCCUGCAGUAUAAGAGAUAAACUUUGAGACAAGGAAUUGAUUGCAACGAUAACUUAAAACCUUUAAAGUUCCUAGAAACACGGAACAAUUUCACAAACCCAGAAGGAACACACAUCAUCUGAAAAAGGGAGUGUGUUAAAGAUGAAGGAUAUACAAAGAACAAGUCAGAUAUUGCUUUGUUAGUUUGACAUUUCUUAGGCCACAUCUUUGACUUGAAAUAAAAUCAACUAAAUUCUAUCAGAGGAAAAAAUCGUCAGAAGACGAAUUUUAAUGUGAAGCUGUAACGUUUCAGAGAGAAGUCAAAUAGUAUAUUUAAGAAAAAAAUAUGUAUUUAUCAUUAAAAUUAAGGAAGACCCAUUUCAUUUACCCACUAGACUAAUUCAAAAUGUUGAAGUGGAUGAAGUUUGAGUUUGAUUCCCCUUCCUCUAAGCAGGAAAAAGUUAGUGGUAACACUAGUCUUAAUCACCGUGUAGAUAAUUAGUUCACUAAGCAUCUCCCUUCCAAGUUACACUUUCCUUUCCCAACUGAUAACGGGUCUUCCUUAAGAAAGUAAAGCAUCACUGCCAGAAACAAAGCAACCACCAGAUAUGCUUAAUUCUCUUAGUCUCUACACUAGUCAAACAAUCAAGGAAAUAAAACAAGCCAUCAACAAACCCAAUCCAGAACGCAGAUAUCCAGCAGAGCACAAGGAAGAAUACAAGAUCCGAAGCAUAAACUCGAGCAUUAAUUGAAUAGAGAUAAAACUUAAAAGCAAAAAAGUUAAUGAAUUUGGAUUCAGUUUUCGAAGAAACAACAUAGAGAGAGGACAGUACCGAGUGAUGAUGAAGAAGUGGAAUUGGAAGGAAGGUGAGAAACGUAAAUAGGAACAUUGUCGCCAAAAAGAGUACCAAAAUAAAAAGAUCCAACCAUAAGUAAGAGAGCGAGCAUUAUCAUCUGCCCUGACUGCAAAGCAAAAAAAUAACCCAAGCCAUAGGAACUGGCCAUUGUCUUCUUUCUUCCCUCCACAGAGCUUGGAUCUCGGAAACGAGCUGGAAAAUUGAAGAAUUCGUCAAGACCCAAAUGACAUUGCCAUUUGAGAGAGAGAUCGGAGUAGGAAUAGCUAUGAAUGUGGAAGUAAUUUGAAGCCUAAAGCUGAGAUUUCAGGAAGAGAAUAUUUUCAGUUUCGAUUCGAAGAUUUCACCGUUCGCUUUCACAAAUCUUCACUUCUUUAAUUUGUAGAGACGACAUACGUAUUCUCCUAAAAUAUUUAUAGUAAAUACUAAAUAAUUUGUUGAGAUACGUUUUUAAUUCUUUUUUUAAUUGUUCUUUUUUACUGUUGUAAAUAUUUUACCAAAUUCAAUAUUUUCUUAAUGAUAUACAAAUAAGGUUUAAAAUAUCAUAUUAUAACCCUCAAAUUUAUACAAAUUUGAUUAAACAUUAAUAAAACAUAUCUUUCAAUAUAUUAUAAAAACAAUUUUACCAUAUUUGAAAAAAAUUAGUCCAUGAUCCAUAAUUUGGAUUCCGACGUUUUUCUAUAACUUGACUUAUUAAAGUAAAAGUGUCUCUACAAACCAACACGAAUCUUUUUAUCAUACUUUGUCAUAACUCACAUAGAAUUAGUCAGAGUUCCUAUAAUCGAACUAUCGUACACCGAUUCAUUAAAAUCUCCCUCUUAAGCUUAGAACAUUAUAUACAUAUAAUAAGAUUCACGAUGUUUAGCAUUUAGAAAUUCAUCAUGAAGUAACAACUAUUUAUCAAAUAUAUUGAUAAGACAAACAACAAUAUCGUUUUAGUAUUAUCAAUAAACAAAAUCAUGAUAUUUUCGAUACCUUAGUAGUGUUUUAAAUACUAGCUUUGACAAUCUUAUCAAUUAAUUUUUUUUUGUGUAAUUUCUAACAAGAACCAACUAAAUAAGUUGCCAAUAUCAUAUCACACAAGUCCCAAUAAGAGAUAAACUUCAUUUUUAUCAUUAUAUUCACAAACAUGUCUUUCAAGAAUAAACAACAAAUUUAAACUCAGACAAAUGUAAUAAUUUAUUUACAAAUCUCCUAAAACAUUCACUUCAAUUUCUAUAAAAUAUAAAAAACAUUCCACAUAAAUUACCAUUUGCACACAACCCUUUGGGCAACUUUCCAAAUCAAAUGAUCCAUGUACAAGUUUUAGAAUGAAUUAUCCAUUAGCUUUUUAUGUUUCAACCUCAUGAAUGUUUAAUUCAUUUAUGUACGGUAUUCAUUCAAUAACUCAACAAUACCACUUUUCAAUCCCUAAACAUAAUUCCAAACAAUGGAUGGUUAAACAUAUAUGCUUUUUAAUUUGAUUUAAAGAGUAUUACUUUUUGUAUUAUGAUCAAUGAUAACUUUAUCUUUUUUUCUCUCUCUUUCGUUCGUAGAUAACAACCUAACAAGCAACGUACACAAACUAGCCAAAAGGAGGGUAAAACUAUUAAGGAUAAAGACAGCCUAAAUGAUUAUAGACUUUCGAACUUCUAGUAUUUAAUGUGCUAUACAGUGGCCCAAUUAAUUCUAAUUAUGAUGACAAUGAAAAAAAACCAAUAAUUCUCACUUUGUUCCUUGACUAAUCUCAUGAGACAACCCGUUUAACCCUACAACAUUUGAGUAUAUAUUAAGAAAAGUUGUAGAAAAUUAAUUAUUUGGUAGGUGGCCUCCAUGAAUUGAACACAUGACUCAAAACAAUCAAAUUCAACCAAAAUAUUUGAGAUUGAUAGGAAAAAACAAACCGAACUCUGAUAGAGCAUAUCAUCAUUCAUUUAAGAACCUUCACGUCAUGAAUAAACUUGAAACAUGCAUUACAAACUUAUCCUAGAUGGGCUUGAAGCACUCAACCAAGACCUCCCGAGUCCGAAUCGAAAGAAGAAGAAGAAGAUGGCAAAGUAACAUAUGUGCUCAACUUUCAACAAGGAACCCGAAGAGAAUGCCAACCAAUCAUGGGAGUGUAUUGUUAAUUGGAAUCAUCUACUUAGCUUUGGCAUAUCGUGUCAAAACUCUACAAUACAUUUACCAAUCAAAACACUAAAUAGGGUUGGAAUUAAUCAAGUAGAUCUUUGAGAAAACAUCACUCACGUAAACACUCUACAAAAUCUAAAAGAGAAAAACAAAAAGAAGAGGAAAGAAGAUAAAAACGAAUGAAAUUGAAAUUAGGAGAGAUGGAUGAGCCAAAGAAAGACUAGUUACUACAUUAUGCUUCUAAACUUGUAAAGAUAAAUAAUACUCCAGCUUGUUUGGGCAGAAGGGACGGCGGUCGGUUUCUCGGGUCGUCUGGAACACCUUUCAGAAACAAAACCAGGUUUUCCCAAUUCGUAGCGUCGUUUCUCAUCGCCGGUUCCGCCAUAUUCAAAUUUCUCUCCAAUUCCGACAGGCAAUUGAUCAAUUACAGGAAAGCUUUCGAAAUUUGAAACUUCCGGCGAUGCCGACUUCUACUGCAGGAAUUGCAGGUUCAGGAGAUUCGUCCAAUACUAUAAUUGGUUCUAGUGCUGAAGAUAAAUCCCUCAAGGAAUCAGCUGCUGCUCAAUCUCAAUAUCGUGCUCAAAAUGAAGUGCAAGAACUUGAAAAGUCUAGCAAACAACUUUAUCCUUGCCAACCGGGAGAAGCUCAGGGUGCUGUGGCAAUACCUGCUGAUCAAGAGACAAACCGAAGUUCCGGGAACGAUCAGAACAUUGUUCCCCAUCAUGGUACGUUUAACAACAUUGCUGUCUCAUCUUCUAGCAACUUCAGGUCGAAUGUUGACGAUGCGAGAGACAUUGACAUUGCUGUUCAGGAUGCCGUGUUAAGGGAACAGGUAUGCACGAAUAUAUUUCAGUUUUUCAAAUUCCUUAAAAAAAAAUCAGCUUAGUUUUGAAUACUAUAAUGUGAUGACGCCUCCAUGUUCUGUUUCACAUUUAAUGGAAGUUUUGGUUAAUCGUCUUUUAAGUUUUUGUUUGCAUUGGUGCUCCCCUUUCAUCGUAUCCGUUCUGAUGGGGACUAAUUUUAUGGUUUUUUAGAGUUCAGAGACUAGAUUUCUAUAUUUUCAAGUUUCUCAAUCUAUACACCCCUAUUAUGAUGAUAAAUGAUAUGGACGGAAUGGUGAGAAAUUUCUUUUGGAAGGGGGAGUCUUUCAGACGGGUAGUCAAUUGACUAAAUAGAGCUGAACUUUUCUGCCUCUUCAAUAUGGGGGUCUUGGGCUGUCUGCAGCAAAGGAACAAGGCCAUGCUCCUUAAAUGGCUUUGGUGCUUCAUCUACGAAGAAACUGCCUCGCAGAGAGUUGUGAUUGCCUACGAAGAAACUCCCCUGUGCAGAGUUGCGAUUGCAAGCAUAUUGGUCUUUGGUGUGGGCUGUCUUGUCUCGAUGAGUGACAAUUAGAUUGAGGGUUGAGAUUGAUAGUGCUUAUUUGUCCGUAUGGAAUUGUAUUUUCAUUAUGAUUGAUACGCGGUAGUAGAGGCUUUAAAGGAAGUAACUGAAACUAUUUCAACGUGCAACCCAUUCCUUGUUGACUAAGAUGAUCUGUGUUGAGCUUGACUUGUAUGGUGAAACAAAGGCUGGGCGUGGUUGUUAAGAAUCUCUAUUGGCACUUGUAGAGGCAGAAUCCUUUUCUUUUGCAUGCAUGGCUAAAGGUUAGUUUAGGUAUGGAAUUCUUAUUAAUUUUUGCAGGAGUCCUUUGCAUGAUCAAAACAUUAGUGCUUUGGAACAGAUUGGGAGAGCUUGCAGGGAUAAUUGCUAUGAAAACAUUAAGGAAUUUAAACCGUAUUGGAACCUCCAUUGAGGUUGAGAACAAUUACUGUGGCUUUAUCCUCGCUGAAAAGUAGCAUAAUGACAUAAUUCGGAAGUUAUUCUAUGGUUAGCGUAGGGGAAUUGUGUGUGUGGUGGGGGAACCCUAAACACUCAUCUUAUAGAUUAAAAAUAUUACUUGCAACUUGUUUUUUUUUAUAGAAUUGACAUGUUGCUGUUUGUGUCCACUGUCCGGUGUCCACGUCUAUGCUUUCUAAUUGGUAGAUUUUGUUGGAGGGAAACAAUGUUUCCAAUACGAAGAGGAAGUUGCACCUAUCUGGGGAUUUUGGUUCUCUUUCAGCUUCCUGAUGGUGCCUCAAGUCUCCCAUACAUUGACAUUGGAGAGAAUUAUAUAUUUAUUUUAUUUCUUCUUGAAAUUUCUUUAGCUCUCCAUUUGUAAUUUUAUUCAUAAGCAAGACACUGUUUCUUAUCUAUGUAACUAAAUUAUUUUAGUUUUCAAACACUUUAAUUAGUUUUUUUUUCCCCUAACAGGAACUUGCUACCCAAAAUAUUAUUCGUAGCCAAAGGUGAUGGUUCUUCAUUUGUUUUUGAGUUAUUACAGUUCAGAUUGAUAAUGAAAACUAAAUAUGUUACCAUCCCCAGAGAUUCCGUGGGUGCAGAUGGACUUCCGGUUGAGCGAUCAGAUAUCUUUUCAGAACGUUAUGACCCGAGUUCUCUUAAAGUAUGUGACUUUCUACCUUUAUACAACUUUUGUUCAUAAAUUUUCUUUAGAAUGUAGAAUAGCCGCAUGCUUACACCCAUCAAUAGAUUUAGUUGUAUGUCAUCACUGCCUCCAUGGUCCCUAUUUAUCUACUUUCAUGAGAAAUAAAUGUCUUAUGUCAAGUUUAUGUAGAUACGAAAAGAGGAACUAGGUUUUGUAUUACAAUUUGAGAACAAUAUUGCACUUUGAUGUUUAUUUUAACAAGCCCAUUUAUAUGAGAACUUGAAGAAAAAAAUUCAUUAGUUAAGGCAGUUAGUUUAACAACUAAAAGGAAACCAAUCCUUAAGUAACUAACCUAACAAAAAGAAAGCGUAAUACACAUAGUAUGUGUAACGUCUGCGUUUAGGAUGGGUACACGUACAUGAAUGACAUGAUAUCGCAUUUGAAUGAGAGUAUGGUUAAAAGUUGUGAAAGUAUGGUUAAGAAUGACUUAAAAGAAUUUAAAGAUAUUAUCUAUACCAACAAGGUGCACCAUCCUUUUGGGUGACUCAAUUAUAGGAACUCAUCCUAGGAAUUUUUCUGGGAAGCAUGUGAGUGAGGACAAAACAUGUUAUAAAGACUCGUGUAAUUGUGUUGGUUUGAUGUAAUAGUCUUCACGCUUGAAAGGAGUUUAAGAUGAGCAAAGAUGAUGUUGCUAGGUCGUAGGGGAUGCAGAAGAAUGUUGGGGCCAUCAUGUGGCGAAUAUGGAUUUCAAAGCUUAGGUUUGCGGCGUUACAGAUGGUAUUAGAGUGGAACCUCUCUUAGUAAAAUGUGGUUUGAGGACGUUAUAGAAAAACUAUUCUAGUGUAGUAUCUAACUACUAGCCUUCUUUUCUGAAUUUAACUUGCCUUCAAGAUUCUUGUCUUCGAAUGAAGCUCAUCUUGGAUCAUGUGGGGAGUUAAAAAAAGAUCAUGUGGGCAUUGGAUACUCUGUCGUAAGAUUGGUUGUAUACUUCUUGAGCAUUUAUCUUAUUGAAAAACUUCUUAAGCAUUAACGCAUGUUAGAAAAUAUUCUUUGUUUUGAAGUGCAACAAACAUGCCUUAACAGAUUAAUAACCUAAAACAUGAGGACUAUUCCCUCCAGCCAAUGACUGUAAAAUUUAACCAGCUAUUAUUGGCUAGUUUACAAAGAAGUCCCACAUCAAUUUCAUGCAUGUUGUCAGUCCUGCCAUUAGAAAAAUUACCAUCAAGUACUGCAACCACUUUCCUAUUCCUAGACUAUCGGAUUUGUUAGAAUAACUAUUUGGAUCCACAAUCUUUUUAAUGAUAAAUCCUUUGCCUCAGCCUGCUAGAGGUGUGAUUUGUUCAACUUUUGGCUGGUCCCUUGCAUUAUCUGAAGAUCCUUUCGUUCUGAUUGCCCUGAUACUUGUCGCCAUUGUCGGUUACCCAUUCAAGGAGGGAGAACAAGAUCAUUUAUCUCAACUUUUCUAGAGCCUUUUAUGGUCUCUGUGGAGGAAUAAACAUAAUUCUUAAGUCUUUAAGGACAAUGACUGAUGGUUCAGCAACGCUUUUGAUUCUCCAUCCUUUUUCAGCUCCCACAUGGUGUAAAUUAGUACCCACCUUUUCUGAUACAAUCUCUUCUCUUGUAGCUCAAAAACUUUUUUUAACUUUUCUUUAGGGUAGGAUCCCUCCCCUUUUUUAUAAUCUCAUCUCAUAAAUACAAUGUUGCUUAUCCAAAGAUAAAAAGGGAGUUACUAUAAUUAUCAUUAUAAAAGAGGAGGUAACUCGGGGAAAGAUGAACCAAAAACGCACAGCCAAAAAUGUGAUGAGAAGGGAUUAUUUAAAUCCUCCCUAAUACCUUACAUCAGAAUCGUUCCUAAUUACCCAUUGUGAGACCAUGGACAUCUGCUUUGCUCUCUUGUUUUUGUUUAUAUUGCAUGACACUGUUAUACAGACAAAGGCUUAUUAUUUGUUAUCAUGUUUUGUAGCUUUAAUUUUUUUUUCUUUAUGCCUUUUAUCUCAGGAGCAUCUUUUGAAGAUUACUUCUGAACAUCGUGCAGAAAUGGCUAUAAAAAGGGGAAAGUUGAAUCUUCCAGAAGAAGGUCGGUACUUUGUGAUAUGGCUUCCUCUUCCUAUUGAUGUUUUUCUCUUCACUUGAUCUUCUUGUGGUGCAAUAGUAGAUGCUUAAGUACUCUAAGGUGAAGAUAUCAAUUGUUGGAUGAAAAGGGUUUAUAGUACAAUUACACAUUGUUAGAGAUAUGUAUGGAAGUGCUUAGGGCUAUGCAAGGAAGAAAUUUCCUUUUAGAGUAUUUGGGUCAACUUAUAAGUAUAAACUAUUCUCAUGGGACAGAUUGUUGGAUGCUACAUCAUGCAGUUUUUGAGGAACACUAGGAUUUUUUUCUCUAAUUGUAGAUAGGUGGCCACUUUGGGACUUGAACCCUUGCCUCAAAGUCCCCAAGUUCUUCAUGAGGCCCUUUACCUCUUUGUAACUCUCAUUAUUGGACCAAGUCGGGUCGAUCUGAGUGAGAAAGGUAAGGCCCAAGAUUGGUUGAACCUCCAAAAUCCUAUUUGAGGGCCUUGCUUAUGCUGACUUAUUCCAUCAAAAUUUGUAUGGGGUUUGGGUUGACCCAUUGGAUGAUUAACUUUUAAAAAUUACUGUGUUGGAAUUUUCUUAAACAAAAUUGUACUGUAACCAUAGGUUAGGUUUCAUUGUACUUAACUAGGGUUCAUCCCUUUAGUGGUACCUCCUUUUUGUUGGCUUAUUUUUUCUAAUGCUCUUGUAUUCUUUCAUCAUUUCUCAAUGAAAAUUAAUGAAAAUUUGGUUCUUUAUAUGAGAAAAAACAAAUUAUAUUAAAACUUGUGAUUUAUAUUUUGUUAUAGAAGAUGCCGACAAUUCUGUGCAUGAGAACAAGUGAAGAAAGGAUUGGUUCUUAUCCUCCUUAUUUUUCCUCGUGCACCUCAAGGAAACAAGUCCCUCGAACACCUCAAGGAAAAAGGCAACAAAAAGGCCAUAUUUGAGUGGAGCCAGGUGCAAUGAAUAGAUAAAUAAAUAAAUAAAAUAUUUAGGUUGCAUGGCUUUGUUGGGCCUAGAUGGUGGGUUAUAACGUUAUAAGCAUAUUUGUUAAAUAAAAUAAGAAAAAGAAACAGAACACCCUAUUAUUUUAAUCAGGGGCCUUGGACUAAGCUAAACAGUCAAAGGUGCAUAGGGCUAGUGCCCAACUGAAAAAUCGCUUGCCCCACUUUCUUUUUCAAUCAUGGGAGAGAGUUUCUUGGUAGGUCAACUUCUUGUAGAUCUUUUAUAAUAGGGAAAGUGAGCACAAUUCAAUUGACAUUAAAAUUUGGUAUCAACCUGAAUGUCAAAGGUCUGAAUCCCCCACCUUCUUGUUGAGCUUUCGACCUUCUGUAACAAUUUGCUCAAGUGUAACAUGGAAUGUUUUUAGGACAGAUGGAUACUGUUGGAAAAUGAUCACAAUGUUGUGUGCUUGAAUUCUUCCUCUUAGGUUUCAACUUCUCUCUUUCAAAAAAUUUCCAUUAUACUGUUUAUUGCAAAUUGGGAUUUCACUUGUUUUUCUUCUUUUUUUUUUUCCUCUUUUGUGUUUGUGGCUUGCAACUCUUAUUCUUGUUUUGUGCAACUUCCUUGUAAUUAUAAUUAUACUUUAACUACUAUAAACGCCAAGUGGGUACCAUUUUUUCUUUUUUUAACUCGGCUUUUUAAUGUAAUUUCAAUACUGUUAAACAAAUUGUCCUCUAUAUCUAGAACAAAAUAUUUUAUGGCCUUUUACAAUUAAAUUUUUUGUAGCACAGAGACCACUUUGAAAGAAUUAAUAAAAUCAGCAGAUAUGUGCCUACUUCUCUAGAUUGUUAUUCUAUAUUGGAGAUUCCAACAAACUCAAACAUAUAAUCUUCCUUUUCCCUUUCAAGGAGAAUGACAUCUUGUUGUCAUGUCAGGGAACUUGGAAAUUGGAAAUGGAUACGGAGUACCUGGUGGAUGUGCUUUCUAUGGUGCUUCAAAGCCUGGAAUUGUUGCCAAUGGUUUAAAACUUAAACCUUUUUCCUUUUGCUUGAUUUUGAUGUUGAUUUCCAGUUGGUUCAUUUGUCCUGCUUUCAGGAAAUAAUGUGACUGGCCAGAAAAUCCAGGGACAGAUCAAGGAAGCAGAACAAAGUUCUGCUUCCAAGGCAUUGCCCGAGUACCUCAAGCAGAAGCUAAGAGCUAGGGGUAUUCUUAAAGAAGAUGCAGAACACAGCAAUUCUGUAAGGGCUGAUGUGCGUAACUUCCUAAAACAUGUCUUGGCAGGACGCCUUAGUUUUAUUAUUUAGCCACAGACCUAUUUGAUCCAUUUAAACCAAUAUUUACUCUUUUCUCGCUGAUGGGGAAACACUUCAAUUUUUUCUCUUUUCUUAUCUUUAAAAAGCAGAUUUACAAAGAAAAGCUUGUGCACCUAAAUUUUGUUCAGAUUUAUAAAUAUCCUUUUGUUUCAAUUUUGAGAUUUCUAGAAUUUGUGUACUUCUGAUAGCAAUCAUAGUUCCAUGGUUCUGCUGAUAUUCUUUAUUCAAUUGCUUCUCUCUUAAAUUACAGACAAAUUCUGACGCUGUUUCAAACACAAAGUUGCAAGGAGAAAAGCUGCCUCAUGGAUGGGUGUGUACUGUUUGCAAUUCCUUUACCAAUUGUGUGCAGUGCUCUCUUUCUCUAUCAAGCUUGUUAGAAUUGCCUAUUGCAACUUGGGAAGGUUAUUUUGUUUGAUAGCUGAGCUGAUUAGGUGGCCUUAGUUUACAUUAUUUUUUAAAUAUUUCCAAUAAGUAGGAAUUUAACAUGCUUAACUAUUUAUUCUGUGGGGUAAUAAAAAAGUAUAUUAAAUCUACUUAGUUAUAAUAUAUCAUACAUUUAUAUAUUACUAGUGUGGUGUUUACUAAAACAGUUAAGUUUGUGAAGUGAACGAGUUUUGUCAGAAUAAUUACGGAAGGUCAUUUUCCUAAGUGUGAGUGAGUAGACCUAGUAUCCACUUUGCGGGAACUUUAUUAUGGAGUUGAAGCGGCCCUUACUGUGUUAGGGACUUGGGGAUUUUAUUUUUGUAAUUCUUUUGAGUCAUUUAAGGUUGUUGGCAACCUCUGGAUUUUGGGUAGCAAAAACAUUAUCAACUCUGGAUGUGAGUAUUGUACUUUCUUUUCAAACAUAAUUUCUAUUUGAUUCUAAGGUUUCCAAAACUAAUACUUUUGGUUCUUAAGAUUUGAAUUUGGUUGUUAUUUGAUUUUUGAGGUUAUAAAAUUGACAUGUCUAGUUUUUUAUAUCUAAAUUUGAUUUCUAGUUAAUCCCUGAAGUUUGAAAUUGGUUUUUAAUACCCAAGUAUAAAAAAUAAUUCCAGCAAUGUCUAGUUAGCAUAUUGUAACUGAACUGAUGUAUUCUGUUAUAUCAACUAGCAGACAAUUAUAUUUAGGGACCAUUUAGGAACCUAUUUCAAACCUUAGGAACCAAUUAUAUCAAAUUUAAACAUAGGAAUUAAAUAUGUUGCUUUUGAAAUCUCAAGGACCAAUUACAAACCAAAUUCAAAUAUCAAGGAUCAAAAGUUCUAGCUUUAAAAACCCAUUGACCAAACAGAAACUUAGUAUCCAGGGACCAAAAGUAAGUUUUUCUCCCUCAAAAAAAAAAAAAAAAAAGAACGAUUCUAAGAAGUUUCAAUAAAAUAUGAAGAUGUGUUGUGAUGUUUCUUGUUUUUGGAAGUUUGUCCUUAGGCCUCCAUUUUAUAAACUUGUAUGCUUCUCUGCAUAGGUGGAGGCUAAAGACCCUCACAGUGGUGUUUCAUAUUAUUAUAAUGAAAGUAGUGGAAAGAGUCAAUGGGAAAGGCCCUCCGAACUUUCUUCUAAUACGCAACUUUCAUCAGCUGUAUCCCUUCCAGAAGAUUGGAUGGAGGCAAUCGAUCAAACAUCAGGUCGGUAAGAGAUUUAAUGAUUUAUGAUGCUGAUAUACCUUCUUCCAUGCAUAAUUUGGAGGAGAAAAGAUAAGAAAUCUGGAGGAAUUACAGCACGAUAAUCCUUGUUGUUUCAGUUUUACCAUACUUUUUCUCAAUGCAUUUAUACAUUUCUGGUUUCCCCUGUCCUGCAUCCCUACCUUUUCUACGAGUCAUUGAUGUGGAGACUGUAGAGUCUAGAGGUUGAAGGCUAGAGUAAUUGGCUUGAAUUGCGUGGAAACUUUUGUAUUUGGCAUCUCAUGAACCUUCUUUAUAAAUUUUGCAAGCCUUGAAAAUGGAAUUAUCCGUUGAGGGACGCUUAUGUCGUGCCUUUAUUAUGUUGUUCUAGUUGUAAUUGGUGGUUUUCCCAACUUCAAUGGAGAAGUGUUCAGAAAAAAGUUGCUGAAUAACAUAAUUUGCAGUUUUGCUCCCAUUGACAAAUUUUCAUACGACCGCAGGCGUAAAAUACUACUACAAUAUGAGAACCCAUGUAACCCAGUGGGAGCGGCCUGUUGCAUCUCAUCAGACAACUUUGACACACUCGAAUGAUAAGUUUCCUGGGCCUUGGAACGACCAAACUUUGGAGCAAAGUAAAUGCAUCACAUGUGGAAGUGGAAUGACCCUCGUGCAGGGUUCAAGAUACUGCAACAGUUGUACAAGGUAAAUGAGAUAGUCUAUAUAUCUAUGCUAAGAAAAUGAAGGUCUUUUCAUUAAGAGACUGGAAAGUACAAGAGAGGAUGCAUACGAGUGAACAAACUUGAUUAAAAGAGAUAUUGCAAUACGUACGGAAAUUUGAGUCCCCCACUCUCCCCUCCCACUAGACUACUCUAAUCUAGUUGGAGGAGUUACAUUUUUGUUAGGCAAAUCGGUUUGCCAUUUUUAUGAUGAAGCCUCUGCAUUAUGUUGUAAGGCAGUUGUUAGUAUUCAGCAAAACCUGAAGCUGGGUUUUUCUUCUAAAGUCAUAUAACCUGCCUCUGUAAGGAUGCCUUGGUGAGCAUUAGUAAGCAUAAAGUUUUGUAGAUUCUUCUGCCUUCAAAUGAGGCUGCAGUAACAUAUCUAAUUUCUAGAAAAAUGUGGGCUCUUCUUCCUUGAUCGGAUUUCCUUCAAGUUUCAGAGUUGCUGUCCAAACAACUUGAUUUCUGAUUUGUGGGAAUAUUUGAGCCAUUCUUGGAAAAAUUACAUUGAGGAGACAUUUGAAGGAUAACGAGAUUAUGCAUUUUUAGUGACCUAAUUUUACUCUUGGAAGAGGUUCAUUUAGCCCGUGGGAUGAUAAAAGAAGUACUGCUGCUUGGUCAUAUGGAGUCCACAAUCAAAUCCCUAAUUAGUAAGCUGUUUGGAAAUCCCAAUGUCCUCUUCCUUGUUUAAAGCUUGUCGUAAAUCCAAAUUUUCAAAGAAAAUCAGCUUCUUUUGUGAUUUUUUAAUGGUCGGACAUCAGAGAAAGCUUGCUUUCAUUGUAUGAUCCCCCUGGCUUGCCCCUUUGUGGUUUCUGGACUUAGAAGACCAGAAGCACUUUUCAUUGUGGGUUUAUUGUUAAAAGGUGGGGGGAAAGCCUCUAUUUUAUUUUCAAUUUUAUCAUUAAAUAUUUUCCAUCUCUCUACUAAAUGCUAUACUACUCGUCAGCCUCUUUUAGAUUCUGACUAAGAGCCCACAGAUACAUCUUACUCAUCCAUCAAGAACAUCCUCCUCCCCUCACCUCACAUUUCCUCUCAUACAUGAUACUUGUUUAUUAGACACAAUUUACUGCUCAACAAGAUGGGCACCCACUAACUGUUUUCUUACUGCAAUUUUAUCUGGAUAAAUUCUCACACUUCGUUCUUCAUUGCAUUGGUUUUGUGUCUAAAUUGACUAGUGGGGUUUCUACAAGUUCAACCAAUGGGAUUUGGCAGGAUCAACCGUCUGAGCAAAAUAAAUGCAUGGGAUGUGGUGGCUGGGGACUAGGCCUUGUGCAAGCUUGGGGUUACUGUAUUCAUUGCACACGGUAUGUUGAUCACUCUUAUUAUUCAGCACUAUCAUGUAGCAUAUCAUUGUAUUUGGUAUGAUUGUUUGUGACUAUGUAUGAACUGAUGUGUGGAUGAAGGUAGUUAGGGUUAGAAGUUCAUUAGCUAGACUGCUUGAGUGAUGCAAUUAUUUUAAUUUAAAAUCCUAGUUGUUUCUAUGACACGUUUACAGUUUUUCAGCCAUUACUCUCGAUAAAUUCAUACAAAUAUUUUUUUUUCCUCAUGGAUUAUGUAUUCGCUUUUGUUUUACCCUCUUUUUAUUAUUAUUAAUAUUAUUUUUUAUUUAUUUAUUCACAACGACUUUCAGAAUUCUCGGUCUCCCCCAGUGCCAGUACUUGCCAACCAACAACAUUAGUAAUCAGCAGAAGAUAGAGAACGUCAAGCAUAGCGCUGAUCCCUCCAUUAAAAAAUCUGUGACAGAUAGGUAAAGAAACAGUCCUCUGACUUCGGACUUAGUUAAGUCGAGAAAUAGGGGAGGAUUAAGUUAUGAAGCUAAUGAGUAUCGGUUGUCAGGUCCAAAUGGAAACCUCCAAUAGGGAAAGGUGGAAAGCGAGAAAGUAGGAAGCGUUCCUACAGUGAGGAUGAUGAAUUAGAUCCAAUGGAUCCUAGCUCUUAUUCAGAUGCUCCUCGUGGUGGCUGGUAUGUCUUCAAAAAUUAGCUCUCUAGGUUGAAUACUAGUUGAUUAUUUAGGCCUCAUUUGACAAAGGUUUUAGUUUUAGUUUUUUGUGCCUAUUUUCUUCCAUUUGUUUAUAAUAGUUUUCAUCUUUCGUAAGAAAUUAUUUAAAUUGCUAUUCAAUUAAGCAAUUGAAAUCAUCGUAAGGAAAUAUCUAAAUUAGCUCUCUGGGUUUAAUUGCUAUUCAAGUUUUUUUAAUAACUAUAUUUUUAAAAUUUCAAGACUUGGCUUGGAUGUUGAAAUCAUCCUUAAAUAAUAGAUAACAAAACAAAGAAAUUCAUAGGAUAGUAGCUGCUUUUAUAAACUUAACAACUAAAAGUCGAAGGGUUAUCAAAUGGGUCUUAGAAAAUCUGUCCAAGAAGUAGAAUGAUAUUAAUUGUUUGUUUUGAUUACUUUUCAGGGUUGUGGGUCUAAAAGGUGUGCAGCCUCGGGCAGCAGAUACUACUGCUACAGUAAGUAGUAACUAAUCAUUUUAGAUUUUUAGCUGUUUGCUGUUGCAACCGUCUCACCUUAUAAUGGGCAAUUAUCAUUUCAUGUAUAGACAUGUUAUGUAGUUUCACAUAUACAAUUUAAAACAUUUCCUUCACAAUGGGCCUUGGUUUUAGUCUGUUUGAUGUAAUGUGCUGACUCUAGCGUCUGCAGUGAACUCUUGACACUGAUUAGAACAGGGGCUGUUCUCUUGUUCCUUAAUCCAAUCCUCAUUGUGUUGGAUCUCAUUUAAAAUAUUUUUUUUCUUAUUAAAUCGAAAUAACUUCUAAUUGGAUAAUAUAUACUUCCUCUCAUCGAUGGUGAAUGGCAGGGUCCUCUCUUUCAACAGCGGCCAUAUCCAUCACCUGGAGCUGUUCUGAGGAAGAAUGCUGAAAUUGCUUCACAGACCAAGAAGGGAAGCUCUCACUAUGCACCCAUUUCCAAGAGGGGAGAUGGAAGCGAUGGCCUUGGUGAUGCUGAUUGAUCUCUUCUAAUUUAUUCUGCUCCGACGAUACAGUGACCACUAUUUAUGUAGUGUAGAAGUACACUUUUCACUGGAGAUGCGACAUAUAUCUUUGACCGUAUAGCCUUACCUGAAGUUAUGGAUCAAAUGCACAUCUCACUUUCUGAAGGAGAGGAACGUGGCUGUACGAUGGUACGUUUCUUGUAUAUAUACUAAUUACUAUACUUCUAUAUGGAAAACUUGAGUCGUGGACAAAACGGUCAAUGAGGCAGAUUUUUAACCUUCACAUAUGUACCAGAAGAUUUGAAUUACUAGACAGGAGUAGAAAAUUCAAACUUAUUGUAUUUUGUUAAAAUGUUACAAUAAUUUAACUUAACGUCGACUAUACGAGACAAGCUUAGAAGUUUAUUAAUCCUACAAUUAUGCAAACUCUAAGUUUACCUUUCAUACUACUUCGAUAACUUUUGAUUUUAUAUUUCAUUUUUACUUUUGUACAUUAUAAUUUCACAAGUUAAACACUGUUAUUCAAACUUGAGGUUAUCGAUUCUGAAUUUUAUAAUUUAGAUGAAUUAAGUUGGUAAUAUGAAAAGAGAUCUCGGUGUUACACCGCCUUGUUGGGUUGCUUUUGGAUGGUUCCCUGGGAGUUCAGCCAAAGUGAGAUGGCAUUAGUUGUUUGUUGCUGAUGGAGAAUCAAUAUUUCAAAUAGAAAUAAGGAGUACAGUAUUUCUUUCUUUACUAUAUGAUAAUGGCAUGUGAUUACAUUGGUCUCAUCUGUUUGUUUACUUUCCAUAUUAGCUUAUUAUUGGGACCAGCUGUCUUACUAUAGAUUGAUCAUCAAUGUGAUGAUGUGUAUGUUGGUUACCUAUCUUUUCAAAUCCUCAAGUCAAUAUAGUAAAAUGACUUAUUACAUUACAUGAAUUGGAUUAUCAAUUUUAGCUGAUUACAUACCUCCUUAACACCAAUGAAGAUACUUAAACUAGAGAUUUCUAUGGGCCACGAUGGAAGACUUCCACAUUCUCGACCCCAUCAUAUUUCAAUCUUCAUCCUAUGAAUUGUUUUUCAAUAAUUUUGAGGAAAGUGAAGAUCUUUGCGAGGAAAUUAAACAUAUCAUCUUAUUUCUUUCUUUCUUUUACUUUCAAUCGAAAUAUAUAGUUUUUUUUUUUAAUUCUUUAAAUUGAGCAUUUUUAAUAUUAUUUCUAUUCAAAUAAUGCAAUAUAAACUUUUCUAAUAAAAACAAUAAUUAAAAUGUUAAAUUUCCAUAAUGUCAAAAAAGUUGAAUGCUGAAUUAUUACUACUUUACAGUUUUUCAACUUAAAUAUUACAAAAUUAUUGUUUUAGAGGUAAGUACGUUAUAAUUAUCCUAGAAAAUAUCUAUAUAAUUAAACAAAGGCAAAAACAUACAAUUAUCCUAGAAAAAAAAUAUAUAAACAAGGAAAAGGCAAAAUAAUUUGUUGUAAUUCAUAUCUCUUCCAUGAAAGGAAGAUAGAAGAAGUUGGUCGAUUAAAAAAAAAAAAGAAGAAGAAGAAGAAGAAAAGAAGAAAGAAAGAAGGGAACAAAUGUAAAAUAAGGUGAAUUUGAAUGAUAAUAAAAAAAUAAAAGAAGUUCAAAGAUAAGUAAAAAAUAAAAAUAAAAAAUUAAACUAUUAGUAAAAUAUAGACAACAAAAUAAGUUAUGUGAAAAUAAUAUCUAUUUAAACUGAAUUUUAAAAAACAAAAAUAGUAUUUGAGUGUAAAAAAGAUCAAAAUUUGAGUGAGAAAUGAGUAAAAAGUGAAAAUGAUAGCAUUAGAAAAAGAAGAAGAAGAAAUAAACAUAAAAAAUAGAAAAGUGAAAACAAAAAUGAUAUAGAAAACAUCCCAAAAACUUUUUGUAAUGGAAAAACGUGUCCUUCAAAUACCAAAGUGUUGGAUUUAUUGAAAGUCCAGCUUCGUGCUUCUUCUCUACACUCAAAAGGAUAGAGAAAACCCAAAAAAAAAAGAAAGAAAACUUUGGGAAUAAAUUCCAUUUUCUUCACUCUCCAUCUCCAUCUUCAUCAUCCCCCAUCUUUAGGGUUCCCUUCCCAUCUUCUUCCUUCUCUUUACCAUCACUUCACAUUCACAAAGGUGCGUUUUUUUUUUUUUCCCAUUUCAAUUUCUUGCUUUCUGUACUUCUCUAUUCCCUCUGUUUCUCCAUUCUUCACUGUGUUCCAUUGCCCGCUUUCCACUUUUUAUCUGAUGGGGCUCAUUCUGUUUUACAUUUUAAUUUAAUUGUUCUCAAGGUGUAGCCAAUGCUUGCAAAUUUAAGUUGAAUUUCCUGUUAAUUUCUGAUUUUGAUUCUCUUUUUUUUCUUUCUUUCUUUUGACUUGAUGUUGUUUCAACUAACUUCAUUGACUUAUUUAUUCGUUUGUUGAAGUGGGAAAAUUGAUUCCUGAAGUUGGUUUCACUUUUAUGGUUUGAUAGUGCUAUUUUUCAUACUUGAACAGUGUCACUGGAUCUAGGAUCGAUAUGUGUCUCAUAUGGUACAAACCCAUUUCUAUGCUAUUGUUGGAGUAUUGAUAUGAUUAAAUUUAACAUAAUCCAUUAGCUCUAGUGUUUGGAUUGAUGGAUGUCAUUUUUUCCUCAAUUAAUUCUGAUUUCUAUGUUGGAUCUAGUGAAGCAGUGUUGAAGUAUUGGUAUAAUUAAAUUUACUAUAACCCAUUAACUUAAGCUUUUGGAUUUAUUAGUGAUUUAAAAAUUAAGAUCUAAAAUGAUAAUGAUUCAUAUUGCUACUUUGGUGAUUAUCUUAGAGAAGUAUGCUUUGCUUAAGUUCUUGGACUGAUACUCCUUGGAAUUACCGAAUGGAAAAUCAGACAUUUUCUAGAGCUUGAUUUUAUUACGAACUAUUACUCCAAUGUUCCAAAGCAUUUUUGAGGUGAAGUUGUUCUUACACUAGCCUAUCCAACCAAUAGGAUGCUCUCUCGCACAUUGAACUUCCAAAUGCUUCUUCAAGCCCCAGAAAAUGUACUCUUACUGAUAUAUAUUCCUAGAUAUGUGGAUGUGCAUCAUCCAUUACAUAUUCAUGAUCGAAAUAGAAGCAAUUUGGGUUUGAAAUGUUUAAACUGCAGCUCUUUUGAAACCAUCAUUGGCGGCCUAGUGGUAAAUAAAAAUCUUGGGUUUGAUGAAUGACUUAAGAGGUUAAUUGAUCUAAUCUAGAAUCUGUUAUUUCAGAGCAGAGUUCUCAAACUUUUGCAUCUUGUGAUAAAUGAAACAUGCAUAUGAUGUGAAAGUACUUAUUUUGUGCUGAUUAAUUAAAUCCAGAAGUAAAAGGACAAAAGUCACCCAAGUGUUUUCUUUGUCAGCUGAGUACAUAACUCAGGCUUGAGAUUAUUAAACUUGAAAGUGACAAGAUUUAUAUGUAGCAAGCUAACAAUUCAAUACGUAAAGAAUGAGGUAUUUCACGGUUGAGACUUGCAGGGAAGAGAAGAAGGAUGUCGACUGCAAACACCCAUUGGUGUUACAGAUGCGAACAGCCAGUUCGACUUCGUGGGCGAGACAUGACUUGCCUUAGCUGUAAUGGAGGAUUUGUUCAAGAACUGGAUGAAAUGAUGGAAAGAAGUCCCCUUGAUUUAUUUGGAGCCAGUGGUAAUGAAUACCAAAACCGCAGGCUAGGACUCUUGGAGCUUUUCUCAAACUUUAUGAGGCAACGAUUGGUAGACAGAAAUGAUAUCAGGGGAAGGUUGGACUCAAUUCCAGAUCAUGGUCCAGGAUUUGGUCCUUGGUUGAUCUUUGGUGGCCAAAUUCCUGUUAGAUUGUCUGGACAUGGUGGAUUUGAAGCGUUUUUUAAUGGGGUACCUGGCAUUGGUGUGAGUAGGAGCAAUGGUGGUGAUUAUUUUAUUGGUCCUGGACUUGAAGAAUUGUUUGAGCAGCUUUCAGCAAACGAUCGACGAGGGCCACCACCGGCAUCAAGAUCUUCGAUUGAUGCAAUGCCUGUUGUUAAAAUUACACAAAGACACAUUCGUUCCAAUUCACACUGUCCUGUCUGCCAAGAUAAAUUUGAAUUAGGAUCUGAGGCUAGGCAAAUGCCAUGUGACCAUAUGUAUCAUUCAGAUUGUAUUGUUCCAUGGCUAGUCCAGCACAACUCCUGCCCUGUUUGCCGCCAAGAACUGCCUGCACAAGGGUCGGGUAGUAGCCAUAGCUCAUCUGGAAGCAACAAUUCUAGUCGAAACAGCCGAGAUAGGGAGAAUGGUAGAACGACUCAAGGAAGGAGGAAUCCAUUUACAAGUCUUUGGCCAUUCCGAGCAUCAAGCUCGAACUCUAACCAUAGUGCUACCACUGGAAGCAACUCACCAGCUCUACACGAGACUAACCAACACGAAACAGGGUACUACGGAUGGCCUUUCGACUAGCAUCAACACUGCGUUCCUAAACUUGUUUGCAGCAUUCAGUUUUUGUGAUUGUUAUUUAAGAUGAUGAAAAUAGUUCAAGCCCUGCAGUCCACUCUCUUGUAUAAUAAAUUGAUAAUAAUGGACUUCCUGUGUGAUGUAGACGACAUUUUUCUAUUCCUUAUCGAUGCUGCUGGAAUUUGUAUAUGCUUCAUGUAUAUUAGCAUGGCGUUUCUUUCUAGAGUUGCAGGUGGUCGGGAAAUCUGUCUGUUCAAGUGAGGAUUGCUGAAUCUUCUUCAACUGAAAGUUAAAACGUCCAAAUCAAGCUAUUCUAGUAUCUACUCAAAUUGACCAAUGUUUUCCUUAUGCAUCAUCAUUCAUACUAAAACUGUACAUGUUUUUCUAAAAGUAGAGGACAACAUAUUUUAGCAUUUAAGAAAUCUUUCAAGAUGGAUUGAGGAAAAAAGAAAAAAAAGGAAUGAGAUCUGAGAGUUACAGAUGCAAGAAAAAAAAGAUAAAAACGUGAUCCAAUAUUUGAGAUCAUGUGAGUUCUUAUACUUGAACAGUUUGGUUCUUGUACUUUGGAAAGUUACCAGGGUUCAAGGUUCAGCUUUUCAAAAAGUAUACAACAGUUCUUUAGAAUCUUUUUCUUUUGCCACGUACUAUUCCAAACAUAAUAAAAACGAGUUGCGAAUGGACAUGUAGUCCUCUCAAACUUAAAUUUAAAUUUAUUUAAAAAUUUAGAUCUUUGUUGUAUUUUGUUAUAUUAAAAAGGAAAAAAAGAGUGUUUUACAUAUAAAAAAUUAAAAGGCAAGCAUGGGCAAAUAUAACAAGUUUUGGUGUGAAAGUGUUGGAACUUUUAUCUCCUUAGUUUCAAGUUUGAAUUCUAGUAUGUUACAUUUCGAGUUUGGUUUUCAUUUAUUUUGCUUUUGAAGAUUUUAAAAUUAAUUAUAAUAGUAUUAGAAAAUUAGUGGAAAAAUAAUAAGUUGAGAGUGUAAAUCUUUUAAAACUUAAGCGUUGAAAGCAAACAAAAAAAAAGAGUAACUUUUUAAAAUGAAUAUAGAGAAAAUGAAGUAUAAAAAAUGUAUACAAAUUUAAAUUACAAAUUUGAUUAAUUUGAUUGCGAGACAGUUUUAACAUAUUUUAGUUAUAAAAGGUAACGAUUGUGUACUGCCAAUAGGAAUAAGGAGAGGGUGAGUUAGUUAAAAUAAUGAUUAUUGUUAUUGUUAUAACUUACAAGAAGAAAGAUAUUGAGAAUUCUUUACCAAUGAGCGAGAAUUGGAGUAAAAUUUCAUAUGAUUCUAGAAAACAAAGUUCAUAAACAAUUGCACAAACUGUGAAUACUGUCUUCUUUUUCAUUUAAGUUGGAUACAGAUCGCAGUUUUGGUGCCUCUUGAAAAAAGAACGAACAAAGCUUACUACAAACAACUUCAAAUCAGAACCAAUUUCAAAUGCAAAUCUUUUUGUAAGAAAAAAAAAUGCUCAAAAGAGGGAACUACAGCUACUAAAUAUGUCGGCUACUCGGUUAUUGGAGAACAAACAGACAUACUCUUCUUUCUGGAUAUCUGGAAUAAGGGAAUGAUAAAUGUUGCUUCAAUCUUCAUAAAACUCGGCCACUGAUUCAGUUGGCACUGGCGAGUUGAGUUCGGAGGAGCUUUGCGGCAGCAACCAUGUUCUUGAGAGCAGGAUUCACCUCGGCGUACUUGCGAGUUUUGAGACCACAGUCUGGAUUGACCCACAAGAUGUUGGUUUCGAGCACUGCAAGCAUCUUGUUGAUUCUGUCUGCGAUCUCUUCUGUUGAUGGUAUUCUAGGGGAGUGAAUGUCGUACACACCGGGGCCAAUUCCAGCACCAUACUUGACUCCCUCACGGAAAACUGACAAGAGCUUCUCGUCGGAGCGAGAGUUCUCAAUGGUGAUCACAUCAGCAUCCAUAUCGAUGAUGGAUUGGAUGAUGUCGUUGAAGUUAGAGUAGCACAUGUGAGUGUGAAUCUGUCAUGUAAUCAUUAGGUGAGUUUAACAUAUUAUGAACUUGUUGAAGGGGUAAUGAAAAUCCCAAUUGGUUAGUGAUGUAAACCUGAGUUGUGUCUUGGACACCACAGUUUGUGAUACGGAAAGAGUGAACAGACCAAUCCAAGUAGAAAGCAUGCUCAGACUUCCUUAGAGGUAAUCCUUCUCUUAAAGCAGCCUCAUCAAUUUGGAUGACAUUAAUGCCAGCCUUCUCGAGAUCCUCAACCUCGUCCUUGAUGGCCAAAGCGAUCUGAUAGCAUGUUUCGAAUCUAGAAGAUGAUAAUGUACACGAGAAGGAUUAGCCAUAAAGUCUGGUAUAAACUAUAAAGGGGAAAGAAAACAACUACAGUAGUUUCUUUCAGCUUGGAAACAUUAUCUUUCUUCUAUUACCUUGGCUGGUCGACUCUAACAAAAGACCAGUUGAGAAUGGUGACGGGGCCAGUGAGCAUUCCCUUCAUUGGGCGGGCUGUCAUGCUCUGAGCCAUGGUAGACCAGAAGACGGUCAUGGCUUUUGGGCGGCUCACGUCACCGUAGAUGAUUGGAGGCUUCACGCAACGAGAUCCGUAUGAUUGCACCCAACCAUUGACGGUGAAUGCAAAACCAGACAAUUGCUCCCCAAAGUAUUCAACCAUAUCGUUUCUCUGCAGUGAGGAUGAAAUUCAUAUUAGAAGAGCCAAAAUGAGGAGAAGGUACUACAACCUCCCUCGACAAAAACAGUGCUCUUGAUUUUCUGCUAAAUAGGCUCCAAAUAACUCACCUCGGGCUCUCCAUGAACCAGGACAUCAAUGUCGAGCUCUUCCUGGAGCUUGACAACCUUGCUAAUUUCUUCCUUGAUUGCCUUCACAUAUUCCUCCUCAGAGAUCCUAAAGAAUGGUAAAAAAAGAUGCAAACAUUAGAAACAGGGUUAAAGUAUUUAUGAACUUCAAGGAAAGCUGGUAUCAAUUUUUACUCACUUGUUAGCUUUGUAUUCACGACGAACCCUCCUGAGUUCAACAGUUUGAGGGAAAGAACCAAUGGUGGUGGUUGGAAGGAUUGGGAGAUUAAGCUUCUUCUGUUGAGCAUCGAGCCUUGCACUAACGUUUGUUGCACGGCGGUGAUCAGAGCCCUUCAAAGCAGCAGCCUGCACAAUCAAAAAGCAAUUAAUCAGUUAAUGAAAUCCCUGCAAACAGAUAGUUAAACACCUUAAAGAUAAGAAAUGAUUGUACGGACCGCUUUCUGAACAGCCUCAUUGGUCACCCUUGGGGAUGACUUCCUUGAAGCAUGAGCUUGAGCGUUAGAAGCAAAGAAUGCCUGAAAAGAAAAUUCCAAUAAGCUUAUGAGUUUGUGCCCAUCAAUUUCAAAAGGGUUAGUACCAAGGGAAGAACGUUCAAGAAAUAAUCUAAGUUACAACACAAAAGGUUAGAAAUCAAGGCCUAAAAACAUAGAAUACACCUUCAAUAGACAAAUGUCAUCCGAGUCAAGAAUAUACCUCAUCCUUUUGACCAGCCAAGGCCUUAGCCAAUGCAUUAACUUCAACAAUCUUUUGAGCAGCAAAAGCGAGCCAUGAUUUGAUUUCAUUGUCCAACUUGGUUUCAUUGACAAGGUCAACAGCAGUGUGAAGAAGUGAGCAGGAGGUGGAGACAACAAGAUGAUCUACAUAGUUUUUUUGGAUGAAGAAGGAAUGAGUAAAUAUGAACUCUCAAAUAAUAAUAAUUAAAUCAAGCAUCAUGAACCAACAUAGUAAUACAAAUGUAAGCAAAAGAAUAUCACCUUUACCCACAAGGGCAGUCAAUUCCUCCAAUGUGCUAACUGAAGCAGCAAGAUCAUUGGCCCAAAUGUUCCUUCCAUCAACUAGUCCAGCAAAAAGGUAUUUUCCCUUGGGGAAAUCACCCUUAAUCAAUUCAAGUGUCUUAGUUCCACGAACCAAAUCAAAUCCAUAGCCAGUGACACCCUUCAAAGAAGUAAGGGUCUUGUAUGCCUCAGCAGGGACAUCAGCGAAGUAUGUCUCAAUAAGAACAUUCAAGCCAGAGAGAGAUGAUUCUAGUUCAGCAUAUGCAUCGGAGAAGGCUUUCAAUUUGUGAGAAUCAAGGUCCAACACCAAUGUAGGCUCAUCAAACUGGAUCCAAGAAGCGCCAGCUGCUUUAAGAUCAGCAAUAACCUCCCUGAAAAGUUGGGCACCAUAUUAAUAUGUGAGAAAGAGAAUCAUUAUAGAAACACUAUGGAAAAUCUUGAUAGAGUGACGAAUUUUACUUGUAGACAGGAAGGAUCUUGUCAAGAAGGGAGAGGAGAGAGAAUGUCUUGUCAACACCCUUUGCAGGUUUGGAGAGCAACAAGUAUGACACGGGACCAACGAGAACUGGAACAGUGUCUACUCCAAGCUGCAUAAUCAAAAAAAUAUUUUUUACCUCAAUUCUUUGGUACUUGUAUACCCAAAUCAGAUUUCAUAGUCCUAAAAGGUAUACGCUCGUCUAAGUCAUUGAAGCAUGUCAACACAUUCAUAAUACAAUGCAAUCUGUUUUUUGCAAAUAUUAUACCGAAAUUCCACUCCAUGUGACACGGAUCUAUGGCCUAUUUCCAAUAACUUUAAUUAGGGACAGUGUUAAAUAUAGCAAUCAGACCCAAACUAUUAACAUAUAUAACACAAAGCAAAAUAAUUUAUCAAUACAACCAAAUUUAAAUCUAGCUCUCAGAAAUAGGAAGUCUAUUGGCGAUAUAGUUUAUUGAUAGAUUUUGCCAUACUUACAAUUCUUUAAAAAUGUUAUUAUAUACUUAACUAUUAACCCUAAAACUGCUACUCAAUGCAAUUAUCCCUUUAAAAUAAUUAAAUUCUCAAUUCUCAAUCAAAACUUCUGUUUCAAUUUUCCAAUGUAUUAUAUAUCUUAUUUUAUGAACAACCAACGCAAAUACCAGAUUCAACAACUUACAGCUUUGGCUUCUUUGUAUUCGUCCACUGCCUUAUGGGAAGCAUAAGAGAACUUCACCUCUGGUCCCAACUCAGGAACAAUGAAGUGGCUGCAUCAUUGAAUUGGCAACAUUAAUUAUACUGAUCUCAUUACACUGUCAUUGCAUACUAACAAAAGUAAAAGGCUAAGUGGGUUACUUACUAGUUUGUGUCAAACCACUUGGUCAUUUCCAUAGCUGGUACAGAUGCAUUUCCUCUAGCCAUGGAGAAGUAGGUAUCAAACCCAAUCUCACCACCAGUCCAGUUAUAUCUAGGAGGAACAGCCCCAAGCAAUGCAGUGGUGUCAAGCACCUGAUCAUAGCAUGAAAAAGUGUUGCUGGGAAUGUAUUUGAUCCCUGCAUCAGACAUCUGUUUCCAGAUGGACGACCUCAGAUCUGCAGCCACCUUCUUCAAAUCCUCUGCUGUGCUCUUCCCAUCCCAAAAUGAUUCAAGAGCAAACUUGAGCUCCCUCUUGGGACCCAUACGAGGAUAUCCAACGAUGUGAGAUGCCAUUGUUCUGCUCAAGAGAUCGCGGACGUAACGAAAUUCAAUUAGAUCCUCUCAACACUACUCUUAUCUCAAAUCCCAAAUCCAAUAGUCAACAAGUAACGGAAACAGCUAACACCAUGUUAAAUUAAAAACGCAAUACGAAAUUCAAGCCAGUGAAGAAGACUUAAGAACAAAGGGUUUGUAACACAUGCAGCAAAGAUCCAAUGAGUAAAGUUCACAUAAGCUAACAAUUCAGACCCAGAUAGAUCUAAUACUUAAAAUAGAAAACAACCCAUUAAAAUACAUCAGAUCUAGGAACACAAGUCUUCCAAGAAAACAAAAAUCCCACCAGAUCUACACGACAAUACUGUAAACACAAAAAACAGAGGAAGGAAGUAAAAUUCCGAACAAUCCUUAAGCAGCAGCAAUUAGAAGAUGAAAUCCAAAAUGGGUUCAGGGCAAAGUAUAAAAAAGAGUUCAUAACACAGUGGAUCUGAAUCCCAAAUUACAGGAAUGCCAGCAUACAUUGACAAAAAAAAAAAAAAAGAAAAAAAAAGUGAAAUUUAGAGAAACAGAGGAAUGGGAAAGCAUGGAAAAAACGGGUAAGGGAAAAGAGAGAAAACGGAGGUAACCUUGAGGAAGUGGAACACCGACAGAGGCUCCCCAAGGAGAAAAGAAAGAAAUGCGAGAGAGAUAAGAGAUAGGGAAAGAGACGAUGAUACUGGGGGAGCCACAAAUAAGAGAGAAGGCGCGAGUUGGAAGAAAUGGGAAUGAAGUUUAUUUAUAGAGAUCAGAGAUGAUGAGGUGGCAGAAGCAGAUCUGGGAUAUCGGAAAGUCACAGCCGGAGAUUGGAUGGUAGCCGGUGACAGACAACCAAAUGUGUAUUUCAUUUUGGUUUAAUUAUUUAUUUUGUUCUAGUGGUACACCGAUCAAUUCUCAUUUCCUAUACUCUAAAUUACUAUACAAUAUUUGACUUUCAACACCAAAUGUAAAUGAACACUUUUUUAAAAUUUGAUGAAUUUGUUCAUAACUCACAAUUAAACCAACAUAUAAUCAGCAAAAACUUUAGACUUAACCAUUACCUACUAAACUAUAAAUGUUAAUUAAAGAAAUGAAAGUAUUGAAAUAUGAGUUUUAAUCCUUCAAUGAUUUAUUAGACAAUAUAUAUAUAUAAUGUGUAAUAAAAAUGAAAAGAAAAAAAGAAAAGAGAGAGAAAGUUUUGAGUAGGAGAAGAUGGAAUGAGACGCGUGAAGUUGGGGGCGUGGGAGAGAGGGAUUUAAGGGAAAAGGCGUAAUGUGGAAGUGAGGAAGUAGUGAGGGAGUGAGGGAGUGAGUGGCCACCACCAUUUCUUUUUCUUUAUUUUGCGUCCGAGACAAAUGCUGUGCUUCUCCCUAAACUUUCACCUCACCAAUCUCAUUCUAAUUCAAAUUAACUCAAACAUUAUUCAUCUUUUAAAUUGAAAUGCUAAUCCAUUCAACUUUUAACAAAUCCUCAUUCAACAUUCAUUUUCAAUCAUCUUUCGACAGAGAAGAAAAAUAUAACAUAUUUAGAAUGGGAUGAAUCAAGAUUAAUCUUGAUCUAAUUUGUGUUUUGAUUUUUUUUUUAUUAUUAUUAUUAUUAUUGUCACUAUUAACGUUAAUAUUUUAUAGAAAAACUGCACAUUUUUAAUUAAUUGAUUGAAAAUCGACAACAAAAGUUAAACGAAAGUUUUUCUUACCUUAGAGGUAAAAAUGUAAUAUUUUAAAUGUUUGGGACCAAAUGGCAUACUCUACACUCAAUAUUAGAGAUGAGCAUAUGGUGGAGGAGUGGGGCUGAGGUGAGUUUCCUAUUCUUGUCCUGACAUCCUUUCUCCCUUUUUCAUUCACCAUUUAAGCAAAGUUUCUUAUCGUUUGACAUUUGUAGGAAACUCCAUUUUAAUCAAUUAACAUAAAGAACUACUAGAAAAGUUUUAAGUUAAACAACUCAAUUUCUCUCUAAACUUUUAAGUUUGGAUUUAAAGAGAAAUUACUCUAAUAUACUUGCAAAAUGGAAUCAUUAAUCGAUAAAAGUAUUCAAAUAUAAUGUAAAUUUGGUUAAUGCACAUUUAAUAUUUUGUUAGAAAUCGGAUGUAGAAAUUAAUUCUUACCAUCUAUUGCUAUAGUAAAUUAAGAUAAAACAAUUAUUAUUAAUCCUUAUCAUAAUUAAUUGUUCUAAAAUGAACUUUAGUAUAUAUAUUUAAAAGUGAAAUUACAAGUUUUUUUCUUCCAAACUUUUGUCAAAUAACAAUUCUUUAUACACUAAAAAAGGCCAAUACUAUUUGCAUCGGGAGAGAAUUAAUAAUAUGUAUCAACUACAAUACAUUUUACUAUUUACGUUACAAUAAGUUAGUAUUUUUCUUUUUUUAAAAAAAAAUGGUUAAAAAUAGAAAACUAUUUACCUUUAAAAGAAAAAUCAAGUAUGGUAGAUUUUAUAUUUUAGCGAUUUUAUUUAUAUAUAUAAAAAAAACAACAACAAUUAAAUAUAACUCAUGCCCUCCUCAUCAUAAAACCUUUUAGAAAAAAGGAAGACAAACAAAAGCUCAAAAAAGAACUCCAAGUAGGAAAAGAUGGCCAAUAUGAGGAGCAAGUGUGUAAAAAAAGAGACGGAUUCGAGUAUUCGUGAAAUGUUGAACAACAACGAAUUUUCAUAGUUAGAGGAAAGAUAGGGGAGAUUCGAAAUAUAUAAACAAAGCUCUCUUCCAUGUCCAAGCAUGGUUGAGGCAUAAUUUUAAUAUGUACAAUGAGUUGUCUCUCAAGUUUUUUUAAAAAAAGAAAGGUUAUAUGGAUGAAUUUAUAAACCCUAAAAUUGGGAAUGCAAGUGAUGUGCACACGCUUGUAGAACGCGUGGCAUGAGAGGAGAUUUUGCCAUUACAUGUUUUGUUGUAUAAAAUAAAUUGGAAUUUUUUUUUUUUUGUAAGACUUUUUAUUUACUUAUUUAUUUAUUUGCAAAAAUCAAUAUAAAAAAAGAAUGUCAUAUUCAGAAAAUUAGGAAAGCAAAGGAAAUUAGAAAAAGAAAUAAAGGAAAGCAAACGCAUUUGGUGGUUGAAAUUGAUUGGGGGAUUGGUGGUGGAUGUGACUCUAAACAACUCUUUUAUAUAUCUACCAGUUGGUUGCAGAUCUAUCUCUUCUUCUUUUUUUUUUCUCAAUUACCAAUUUUAUGAGUUAAUUAAAACACUUUCACAACUCUAUACUUAUUUAGAAGGAUUUAUUAAACACCAAAUUAAAAAUUCAAACACUUUUGAGAAAUAAGAUUGAGGAUAACAAUGCAAUCGCAUGAGUUGGUAGAACAAGUGUCAUCGUCUUGAUUAACUCCUUAUUGCCACUUUGUAGAUAUGAAUUUGUCUUUUCAUCUUCUUCUAAGUCAUUUUCUUAAUGUAAACAAAUUUAUUUUUAGCACACAUGCAUCAUGAAAUAACUUAGGUUUCGUUUUAUAACUAUUAUUAUAUUUUACAUAGUUUUGUGAAGUUAGAUAUGUUUUAGUUUUAAUUUGUAUUUUAAAUUUGUUUAUUUUCAAAGGUGAUGGAAUAUUUUAAACUUUACUAAACAAAAGAAAAAAGGUUAAGAAUGUUUAAUUUCCAACCAAACCUACCAAUCCUUACCCAAACUAGGUUGAUUAAUGUUAUAAAAUACUGAUACAAAAGUUAUAAUUAAUAUGGUAUUGUAAUAUAAUAGAUUUUUUAAUAGAAUUAAUUAGUAUUGUACACAAGCUAGAAAUGUCCUUACAAUGAAAAUUAGAAAAUGGGUCUCUUUUCUAUUGAAUAUUUAUAUUCCUUAUAUAUGUGUAUAGUCUUUUCUUAUUCUUAUUAGAAAUAUUGCAUUGAUGUAAGGUGUAAGUUGAAGCAGUAGAGAUGUAGGUCUUGGUUAAUUAAUGAACUAAAACUCAUAUUAAACCAAUAAAAUGAAAACAACAAUCAUUUACUCUGAUUGUGUAAUAGUUUAAUUAAAAAAUGACAUUUGAAUAAGAGACAAUAUUGAUAUUAUUGAUUCCAUCUAUGACUUAUAUAAGGUAGCAUAGAAAUUGAACUUUCAAUUUUGUGGUUUUGUUAGUUAAAUUUUAAAAUUUAACUUUAUGAUUAUACAAUAAAAUUUAUGGUAUUGUAUAAGACACUAAAUAUUAAGAUCUUUAAAUCGAGUGAUUUUCACUAUUAUAAUAAUUCUAUUCCAAGGAUGGUUUAAGAGAUUGUGUUUGUAUAUAUAUAUACUUUUGCUCAUGCACACCAUAGCUAUGCAAAUUAAAAACACUUAAAUUAUUAUUUUUUGGAUUACUAAGCACCUUAGGUCAUAAUUGGUGUAAUCAAAGUAAGUAUUUUAUUAAUGGGUGAAUUUGGAUGAUAGCAUUUACCUAGAAUUAUAAAUUUAUGGUUCUUACAUAUUAACUUUAAUAGUUAACCAAAUAGUAAAGGACAACAAUAAAUGCAACAAAUUAAUUGACGGACUUAAUUACAUACUUUGAGGCAGAUUUCAUCACACGAUGAUUAACAUUAACACAUAUGGAUUAGCUUUUGGGCUAAACGUAAUCUUAAUUUAUUAAUGAUGUUAAAAUUUAAUGGGACAUUCUCAUUAUAAUAAAUUCAUGAAAUGCACAAACAAAAAAGCCAAAAUAUUUAAUUUAUUGUUUUCACAAUAGAAGUAAAAUUGUUUUUAUUAACUAAUAAUUCAAAUAUUUCUUUUAUAGUUUAAUUGUUUUCUAAUAACUUCUUUUUUUUUUAAUAUCCAAACUCCACAUUUUAAAAAAACAACAAAAGGAAAAAGAGAUUAAAAACAAAAAACAAAAAUAAUAUAUAUAUAUAUAUAUAUAUGUUUAUACAAUUCGUACAUUGUACAGAGAGCAAAGCGUUGAGAUAAUCGUACUCUGUUUCACCAUUUUUCUUUACAAACCCAAUUCAAAUUUUGUUCCUCUCUCUUAAACUCGAAAUCUUCGAGCAUUACAACACAAACAAAAAACAAGAAAAGAUCAUAAACCGAAUUCCACUAACAAUUAAAAAUUGAAAUUGAAAUUAGGGCCAAAUCAAAUCAACACAAACCCUAGAUUCCUUGAGAAACUCAUCCAUUACAUUCUCAUCGGCACAGAUCCGGGUCUUGUAAUUAUUGGCGUAACAGCAGUCGGAUCUGGGCAACACCGAGUUCCCAUGGGCAGAAGAAGAAGAAGAAGAAGAGGGCAUGGUCGUUGGUGGAGAAGGGAGAGUGAGGGAGUAGUCGGGAUUGGUGUCGUGGUGACGGAGGAGUUGGGAGAGGAGGAGGAGAAGAGAAGCCAUGGAUGAUGAUGGGAGGGAAGUGAAGGAAAUUAGUUGGGAGGGGGAUUGAAUGAAUUGAAAAGAGUAGGGAGAUUUGUUAUUAAUAAUGAAGGGAAUUGAAUGAAUGGCAUUUAUGGGCUCUCUUCCCACCGUUUGUAAGAUUUUCCAAUGGGUAAUUUAAUUACAAUGAGUCCGUCUUUCCACUGUUUAAUGUUUAGUGUUCUUAGUUUUCUCCGCCGGUAUUCUUUGUUUUCUUUCACAACAAAUGAAUCCAACGCUUAACAAAACCAACGCCAAAAAUCAGUGGGUCUCCCUCUCUAUGUGUAAGAUUUGAAGUAUAAGAAAGAAGAAGAUGCCUAAACUGCUCUCAAACAUCACUAAUAACGCAUCACACUUCACACUUUCACUUGUGCUGUUUUUCUUUCUUUUUAUGCUCUUCUUAAUACUAACUUUAUUUAUUGUUUCUCACUUAAAGUCAUUUUCUUUCACUCAUAUAUUUUAACUUGCAUUUGGGUCAUUUUUUUAUUUUCUUCAAUCCUAGUUUUUCUCUCUCUUUUUUAUGGAGAGUGGUGAAUGCAUAUGAAAAAAAGACAAGGUUCAAAUUUAAAUUGAAACUUUAGUCUUUAUAGUUUUAUAAAUUAUAAUUUAAUUAGUGCGAUUAUAUAUGAAAUUUUGUAAACAAAUCUUAAAACCCUCCUAUCCACUAUUUAAAUUGAAGUUUAGCCUUUAUAGUUUUAUAAAUUUUGUAAACAAGGUUACACUUAUGAUGUGUAUACAAUCUUUGUACACAAUUAUGUACAAAGUAUAAAAGAUCUUGGUAUACAAUUGUGAACCAAGAUUGUUAAUAGAUUGUAUACUUGAUCGCUUUGCUAUUAGUAUGUGAUCGUGUACCGAUUCAAGAUCUUGUACCAAACCUAAAAAAUCUUGGUACACAAUCGUGAACCAAGAUCAUUUAGGUUUUAAACACGAUCGUUUAGUUCGUACUACGCGAUCAUAUACCAAUAUGUGAUACACACAUGUAUGAUCGGUGUUGAUACUACCUACACGAUUGUGUAUCAUUGCCUAUACGGUCAUGUGUCAUUUCUUAAAUGAUUACAUAUCAUGAUCAUUUAGAAGAAGAAUUACGUGUGCGUGUGUGACUGAUUAAUCGCGUGUUGACUAGAGCAUUUUUGGUAUUUCGCAUCAUGAGCUUGUGGACUUUUUCCGAUUUUGAAAUUGCCACUUUGUUAUACUUUUUUGAAGAGUUCUUUUAUUUAUUCAUUUGUUUGUUUUGAUUUGUUCAUCUAAUUGAUUUGGUAAGACUUGUGUAAUUUUUUUAAGAAUUGAUUUGGUAAGAGUAAUAUGAUUUUUUUACUCUCCUUCUCUUUGUUUCUUUCUUCAUGUUCUUAUUUAUCUUAUUUUCUCUAAUACUAUUAAUAUUUAAUUCUUCUUAUUAAUUUGACAUUUGUAAGUUUUAAGUGACAAAUUUAAGUUAAGUCUUUUCUUAACCUUUCUAAUUGUAUACAUUUCACCCUAUACCAAAUUUGGUUCCUUUUUUGUUUUUAUAUUUCGAUUACUUUACAUAUCAACUUUUUACAUUUUUUUUAAGUGAAAGGAUUGCCAAAUUAAAAAAAGAAUAAAAAAAUAAAAGAAUUCAAAUUUCAAAUGUACAAAAUAUAUGAGAAUUUAAUAUAUAAGAAAGUUAUACAACAACAAUUUAAUAUCUCAAAUUCCAAAUUAGAGUUUGGUUUAUUUGAAUGCCAAGUUUUCCCACCUACUCUUUCUUAAAUUAUAAGAAAGAAAAAAAGGAUUAAAGUUAUAGAAAGAUGAACUUGAAUAAAUAUUUGUAAUAAUAUGUGACGUUGGGUAUUGAGGAUUAAAAAUUGGUGAAGAACCAACUCCAAACCUCUUUAAAUUUCUAACACAAAAAUCCCAAUCUUGACUUUGUAAUACCAUCCUUCUCAUAUCAAAUAAUAAUAACAAUAAAUUAUUGGUUUUUCCAAACAAGACAAACACAAAUGGAUUACUUACAAAUAUAUUUUCAAAUAUAGCAAAUAAACCAAAAUAAUAAUCUAUUUAAAAAAUAUAACAAAAUUUCAUAUUCUAGUUUUAAUCUAUUUGUUGUUAUUCAAAAUAUUUUUUCAUAAUAAUAAUACAUAAAUAAAUAUUAGGAACAGAGAGAGAGAGAGGAAUAUAGUAUCUAGAAAAGUUUAAUUCCACAGCAUAGUAUAAAAUACAAAUCCAAGGAAAAAGGAGAAUUUGUGUUUGCACAAUGUUUUCUAUAUUUUAAGUUGUACCAUCUCUUUUUACAUUCAUCUCAACCACACAAUACAAUAAUAAAAGAAGUUUACAAUAUUUGAAAAAAAAAAAACAAGAAUUUGUCACAUCACAAGUGAUAGGAUGAUUACUUAGCAAAAUAGGAUGCAUAACAAUGUCUCUCUUUAUCUGUCACUAAAAAUCCUCCAUUUCUAGCAAACAUUUGGUAAUGUUUGUAUGAGUUGAAUUAUUGGGUUGUGUAAAAAAAAAAAAAGAAACCUAAAUUCUCAAAUCAUCACUAUCAAUAAAAACAAAAAAGGAUUAAAUUAAAAAAGAAAAUCCCACAAAGCUUCAUCCUUGUUUGUAAUGUGUAUCUUAUUAAACUAAAAAAACAAGGAAAGAGAGGGGUAAUAGAACAAGUCUCCCAUUGUUUUUCACAUCCCCACUUGUCGAUCCCUUACUCCUCUCUCGCCGGCCUUUCUCUGCUUUUAAACACUCUCUUUCUCAAACCCCCUGUUUCUCCCCCCAAAAAUAAUGGAUCGUCUCAUCACCCUCGAACCCUCCAACCUCAUUCCCAUCCGAAUCGACCCCCCCCACAAAUGCUCCGGCGACCUCACCCUCCGGAACGUCAUGUACACCAUGCCUGUCGCCUUCCGACUCCAGCCUCUCAUCAAAUCCCGCUACACUUUCAAGCCCCAAUCCGGAAUCAUUCCUCCACUCUCUACUUUAACAGUCGAAAUCCUUUACCAUCUUCCACACGGCGUCAGUCUCCCCGACUCCUACCCUUAUUCCGAUGACUCUUUUCUCCUCCACAGCGUCGUCGUCCCCGGCGCCGCUAUCAAAGACUCUUCCUCAAGCUUCGACUCUGUUCCUUCCGAUUGGUUCACUACCAGAAAGAAACAGGUGUUUAUCGACAGUGGGAUUAAAGUCAUGUUCGUGGGGUCGGCUGUGUUGGCGAGAUUAGUGGCGGAUGGGGCUAUGGAUGAGAUUAGAGAGGUGUUGGAGAGGAGUGAUCCGAGUUGGAGGGCGGUGGACUCUGUGGAUGAAAAGGGGAGGACUCUUCUUCACUUGGCGAUCGGGCAGGGGAGAGCGGAUUUGGUGCAGUUGCUGUUGGAGUUCAAUCCGGAUGUGGGGAAAGUGGGGGAGAGUGGGAUGACGGCGGUGGAGGCAGCGGCGGGGGCUGGGCAGGCGUUGAUUGUGGAGUUGUUAUUGGCGAGGAAGGCGAGUACAGAGCGGGGGGAAGGAUCUGUUUUUGGAGCGAUUCAUUUGGCAGCGGCGGGAGGGCAUGUGGAAGUGUUGAGGCUGCUAUUGGUGAAAGGAGCUUGUGUUGAUGCUCUGUCAAAGAGUGGAGAUACGGCACUGCAUCUGGCCGUUCAAGAGCGCCGCCGUGAUUGUGCUCGGUUGCUUCUCGCCAAUGGCUCUAAACCUGAUGUUCGUAGUGCUGAACAAGGUUACACUUUCUCACUUUUCACUCUAUUUUUUACAUCUAACUAUUUUUUCUUCUCUCUUUUAUUUUUUUUAAAAAAGGUUAAAUUGUUAAAAUAUAUAUAUAUAUAUGAAUUUUUUUAGUAUUUAUUUCAAUAUUAAUUGUGGUCAUUAUUUAUAAAUGGUUCAAAAUUGUUGUAAGUAAUGUUUGUUUGUUUGUUUUUUUUAUAAAAAAGUUCACAACCUUAUUUAAAUAUUGAAUGCUAAGAAAAUUGAAAUUAGAGACAAGAUAUUUAAUUUAAGCUUGGGAAGCUAUCUUAAACUAAUGCAAUUAAUUAAUCCAUAUGGUUACAAAACUUUCUUUAUCAAACCAUUUUUUAGUUGUUUAAUUCUCCGUGGUUUCUAUUUAAUUAAUCAUUAGUCUUAGGAAGUGUCAAUUACAAAUUUAAAUUUAUAAUUAUCCAUCCAUUAACGAGUUGACUAAGGGUAGACUAAAAAACAAAGCAUUGUUGGGCAAAAAUGACAUUUCAAUUGAUUAUUUGUUUGAUAAUUAUUUAGUUUUUAAAAUUUAUUUGUGUGUUCCAUUUUUCACCAUUUUUUAAAUGAAAAGGUUAAAUUUUGCAAUUUAAGUACAAAAAUCUGUAGUUAAUGUGAAAAGCAAAUAUUCCUUUGUAACUAAAAUGGUGGUUCUUAUUUACAACACAGGAGAUACGGCGCUGCACAUGGCCGCAAGAAUCGGUGAUGAGCAAAUCGUUAAGCUUUUAAUUCAAAAAGGAGCCAACAAAGACAUCCGAAACUGGGUUGGAAAGCGUCCAUACGACGUUGCAUUUGACCACUCCCACACCCGCCUCUUCGACGUCCUCCGCCUUGCCGACAAGCUUGCCACUGCAGCACGCAAGGGCGACGUUCGCUCAAUUCAACUCCUCGUCGACAGUGGUGCUGCUAUCAAUAGUCGCGAUCAAAACGGCUGGACAGCACUCCACAGAGCUGCCUUCAAGGGCCACACCGACGCCUCAAGAGCCCUCAUCGAUAUUGGUAUAGAUGUCAAUGCUAAGGACGACGACGGCUAUACUGCACUUCACUGUGCUGUUGAGGCUGCUCAUGAUAACGUUGUCCAAGUACUCGUCGAGAGAGGCGCCGACGUUGAGGCGGUGACGAAUAAAGGGUUGAGUGCAAUGCAAAUUGCUCAAUCAAUGCAGUAUACAAGGACUAUGAGGAUUUUGAUGCACAGUGGUGUGAGUAAAGAUCACAUCGACGUGCCACCGACGCGAACGACGUCGUGGCAGGGGUUGGCGAAGAAGAAACAACAGAGUAAAGGAAGAGGGAGAAUCAAGAGUUUGAGGAGUACGGACUUUGAUAAAUCAGUAGCACUGUCAGUGGUGUGAGAAAAUUUGUAAAGAAUUUGGAGGGAACAUGAUCACUAUAUUUAAUUAGUGUUUUAUAUAUAAAUGUGGGUGUGUAUUUUUUGUAUGUACGGGAAUGAGAAUGUGAUGAGAUGAAUUAUAUGUAUAUGUAUAUUUUCCAUCACUUGUUUGUUUAAAGUUGAAGCAACUUUUAUAAUAAUUAUUGGAAUUUUGUAAUUAAUUCAAACUUAAAUGGGAAGAAGUUUCUGAAUAUUGAUGUCUAAUUUUAAAAAUAUUGUAAACAUUAACAAAUAAUUUGACAAAUUUAUGAUUGUUUUCUAAAAAUAGAAUAUAAGAAUAGAUGAAAAGUAUAAUUGUUAAGAACUAGGGGCGGCCUUGGUUUUUCAAUAUAUAUAGUAGAGGUCAAUUUUUAAUGUUGUCACAAACUUCUUUGGGAUUCUCACACCACCCUUCAUCUCUUCCUAUCAAAUCAAUCCACCUUUUUAAAUUUUUUUUUUUAUUAUUCAUUAUAUAUAUACAUUUGGACAAAUAUAAAAAUUAUUUCAGUUAAUUUCGUUAUAAACCAAUCUUCUUUCUCACCAUGCAAAUAAUUGAUAAAUAAGUUAGCCUCCAUUUAAUUUAAUCACUAUUUUGUUUCUCGUUUUUACGUGAAAAUUUCUAUGCCCACUCGUAGUUGUUAUAUAUAAAAAAAAAGUUAAUAAAUAAUUGGAAGAAAAUGAUUAAAUAUAAGUUUAGGAAAUAUAAUGUUUUAAAUUUAUGAAUAUUAUUUAACAUUGAAAUGAAAUUUAUUUUAAGAGUGAUAAAUAGUCAACGGGAGCCAUGUGAUAGGUUUUUUCAAAAUGCCAACUUCACUUUACUUUACUUUUAUCUACAAUUAUGUUACAUAUAUUAAUUAGUAUCAUUAUUUAUCAUAGGGGUGUUGAUUUUUUAAUGGUACAUAUAAUUUUUAAAAAGUGAUGAUAUUGGGAUGGUUGACUUAGAAAAUGAUUAGUUUGGCAAGAUGAGUGAUGAGAUUGAUCCUGUAAGAUGUGUAGUCCAUAAAUAUGAUCACACACCUUGACACAAAGAAUAAUAAUUAAGUAGUCAUAUAAGCUCAAAAUUAUUUACAAACUUGAAAGAAGAAGAAGAAUAUGGCAGGAAUAAUGAAGAAGAUCCAGGAAACAGUGCAGAGCCAUAAGAAGCAACACGAUGGGGAGAAUGGAGCUCAUGAAGGAGUUGGGAUUGUGGAGAAGAUGAAAGAGAAGAUCCAUGGUUACAAAGAGAAAAACAAAGAGAAGAAGAAGCAAAGGAAGGAGAGGAAGGAGAAAAAAGAAAAAGAGAAGAAGGAGAAAAAAGCCAAACAAAAAGCAGAAGAAGCAGAAGAAGAAGAAGAUGGGGGUGAAAGCAGCGAUGGCGAUAGUGACGACAGUGGUGGCGGGAGCGACUAAUAAGUACUGUGUGUCUUAGCGUUUCGUCCUUUCUUCUUCUUCUCUUUUUCGAUUCCUUUUUAGCUUUCUAUUAGAAUAAUAUUGCAUGAUUAAAUAUGGAUCGGAGUUGAAAUUCAAACUUAUUUCUUUUGUGUUUCUUCAAAUUUGAAUGUGUCACAUUUUAUCAUACAACAACACCACACAAGAUCUUAGAUGGUCAUUAAUAUCUACAUGGAUGUUGUCCUUCAUCCAUGGUGCUCCUUCGACUUCUCGUGCGUCUCUUGUUUUUCUUCUUCCUCCUCUUUUUUUCUCUUUAAAAGUUGAAACAAAAUUUAGUUUUAUAAUAUAUAUAUAUAUAUAUGAAUCCAAAUGUAUUAAAAGAAAACUAUCAAAAGUUUACCGUAUCUAAUGCAACCUAAUUUCUGUGCAAAAUUCAUCUCAACAAUCAAAAUCUUUAUAUAUUUUAAAUGCUAUCAAAUUUUUUGAUCUACAAUGUGUGUAGGAGUGUUUUUCCAUUGAUCAAGAUUUUUAUCUUAAAUGAUGCUAACUCAAGUCAACCACGAUUAAAUUGCCGUAAAAAUGUUGUAUUAAGAAAAUAUUUAAACUUUAAAGUAAGUACACAUUACAUUAUUGAUAAAUUUCAUAUUCAAAACUAAAAGUUUAAAUUAGCAUAGUUUAACUAUGCCAUAGAAUUUGUGCUAUCGACUUAAAUGUGAGAAUUUCAAUUCUUCUUUGAUCUUCUAGUGUUAAAUAAAAUUUAAAACUAAAAAGAUUUAUAAAUACUCGACCAAAAUCUAGUAUUUGCCUCUCAAAGAAUACACAACCAUAAAUACACAUUUUGCAAAAAUAAAAAAAUGCAAAUAUAUACACAAUAAGGAUUGAAAUUUAAAAAAAACUAUGAUUGUUUUCAAAUAUAAUAAAAGAAAUAAAAAAUUUAUAUGAUAUAAUAAAAUUUUAUAUUUUAACGGUUUUAUCAUUUAAAACAAUUUUUCAAGUUCGAAAAAUAAAAUUAAAACAACGAGUAAAGAAUACAUUUUCGAAAAAGGAAACAUACAAUAGGUAAAGAAAUAAAUAAGAAACAAAGAAAAGGAAAAUGAUAGAUUAAAAAAACUACAAUUUUUUUUGUGGAGUUUCUCAAAUUUGAACCAGUUUUACGACUAUAUUUUCAAAUCUAAAAACAAGUUAUGAAAGUAUUUUUCAACAAAUUUGUUUCUUGAAAAUUGAAAAUAAAUAGAAAAGCAUGAAAAGAAAAAGGACUAUUCUAUUUUUAAAAUAUUAUUUAAAACUAUUUCUCUUAUAUCAACUUAGUCGUGGAGACCCACAAUUUUAGGUUUUGAAAUAUAGAGUUGCAAUCAUUUAAACUCUAAAUUAAUAAUGGAAGCAAUUGAAAUCUUUAGCUUUUGUAAAUAUAUCAAUCCAUGCCCUUUUUCAAAUAAAUUGUGAUGAGUACAUCAAUUUAGAUCCUUUAUACAUCAAAUCAUCCCUUCAAAUCUUAAAAUUGACCUUUUUUUUCCAUUUGUACUUAGUGCAAAAGUCAUAUUUGUACUAUGGAUUUUUUUUUUCUUUUCGUUUUAUAAAAUAUAGUAAAAUGUUUCAAACUUGUUAAAGUUAAUUUAAUGCUAUUAGUUUAAUUUUUGUUUGCUAUCUAUAAUCAUUUCCCCAUCCCUUUUAGUAUUCAACAAACAUAAUAGCAAAUUUCUUUUGGUACCCAAGCAUUUCACAUAAUAAAUAGAACACAAGAGUGAUUUUUCUUUGGUCCUCUAACCUUCAUUUUCAAUAUGUUUAGGAGACAGCUGUUUCAUAUAUGGCAGAUAUUUCAAAAUUUAAAGCUUCCAAAUAAAACUAAAUCUAAGGUUGUUUACUUCUUUUGGUACCCAGUAUUGAACCAACCCAUGUCACAAUGGAUCGUUGGGAAUCUACAAACUCACUCCAGAUUUUAUAUCAACAUUCAGAAUUUUCAUGGUGAAACUGUUUUGAAUUUUGAUAUCCUUUUUUUAGAGUCCCAACAAAUGACCUAUUAGUACUUGGAAGCAAUUUUUAUGCAUUUCUGUUGUUUCUCCAACUAAAGUGAGUUUCCCGUAAUUGAUGUCUCCGAUCUUCUUCCCUAAUUAAAAGUAAAAUGUUGGAUUUCCAGUCCGAAUAAUAAUAAUUAAAAAAAACCACCAUAGAGAUGUUAUGAACAUUAGUAAAGAUCAUAUAAAAUCUCUUAAUCUUUAUUAUACAUCACACAUACAGUACAUAACGUAGUCUUAGAUUAAAAACAAAAAGAAACAAAGAUAGAGAAACAGAGAUCGGAAACAGAGGGAUGAUUAAUUAAACCAAAAGGGAGUGAGAUUAUUCUUGAACACACCAGCACGCGAUCGGAACACAAUCUACCUCUUAAUAAUGAUUCCGAGAUCUGACCCAUCAAUCGCUAUCGCUAUCGCUGCUGCUAUCUCCACCUUCGUGUUUGUGGCCGUGCUCACCCUUCUUCUUCUUCUCCUUCUUCUUCUUCUCCCCUUUCUCCUCAUGAUGAUCACCCCCAUGGAUCUUAUCCUUGAUCUUGUCCAUUAUCCCUUCCUUGUGCGCCCCUUCUCCAUGGUGCUCCUCGUGCUUCUUGUGUUCAUCGUGAUGCUCACCCUUGUGCUCGCCCUUGUGAGCGUCGUGGUGCUCUCCCUUGUGAUCGCCUCCAAUGUGGAGCUUCUCGCCGAUUUUCUCAAUGAAUCCAGACAUGUUUUGAUGAUGAAUUUGGAAUGGGGUUUUGAAGAGGAUGCGUGUUUGUGGAAAAUGGGGAAGGAAAGAAGGGGAAUUUAUAGAUGGCGAGGGAGGAGGAAAGACGAAUUGAAACGAAUAAAUUCAGUUUAUCCACAAUGUAUCCGUUGAUUUUGAUUGACGUUAUCUUAUUGCUUUAAUAAUUGCGUUUUUUUUAUAUAUUAUUAUUAUCCUUUUUUUCUGAUUCGUUUACGCGGUAACGCCACGUGUCACACGCUCUUCACCACGUCUUUGUUUUUUCCCUUUCACUUUCUAUUUAAUUCUAUUUUUUUGCUUUCAAUCAUACUAAAAAUAAUAAUUAGAUAUCUAAUCAGAAAAGUUUGGAGAAUUUGUUAGAAUAAAUUGUGCCAUUUCUACAGGUUAGGUUCAAGAUUUUGAAUGGGUUUGCGUUCCACCAAGUAAAUAUGAAUAUUAAUUGUAAAGGAAACUAAGAAAUUGAAUCUGAGAUUUUUUUAAUCAAAGAAAUUUACUGUGUUGGAUUGAGAAAAUUUUAAGUGUAUAUCAUAGUGUGUAUAAGAUAUGAAGUAAACUAAGUAUUUAUAGACUUAUUAGGUACUUUUAUUAUAUUUUUUCUUUUUAUGUUUAAGUGAUUUAUUUGACAUUUUUUUAAAUUUUGAAUUAAUGGGUGUUUUUCUAAAGCAUUAAAGCAUUCACUCAGAUGAAAUCUACCAAAAUUAAUUCUGUGUAACUUUUCAUUUAAUAUAAUGGACCCAUGAUGCCAUAACUCAAUUAAUGUUUAAAAUAAUAAUAAAAUAAACGUGUGAAAUUAAAUGAAAAAAUAUUGUUUAAAAUGAAUUUGAUUUAGUGGUAUUUGUACGACGUUUGUUUUUAUUGUUAUCGAUAAAAUCUUACUUUGAUCUAUAUUGAUGAAUAUAUUUUUUAAAAAAAUCAUGAAAAAACUAUUAAAAAAAACGUUUUAACUCUAAAUAAAUCAAAAUACUUCAUUUUGAAGAAAAAUUUAAGUACUUACUAUUGAUAUUAUAUUUACAUUAGUAUGUUUAAGAGUUAUGUCCUUUAAUGCAUCUAAAUCAUGUCAAUAUCUACUACUUAAGUAUACAUCAUUAUAGCUUUAUGAAAACUAUAUCCGUUCUCCACUUUUGAAUUUUCUCAACUUAGUCCACUUAUUCGUUUUCUAAUGAAAACAUCAAAUAAUGUAUGACAAAAUUUCGAUGUUUCGUUUUAACUACGAAGAGAUAACAUUUCUCUUUUCAUUAUAUAACUCUCGACUAUAUUGGUUGGUGUUUGAAAAUUUAAUAUCUUUUAGUUGAAAAAUAAUUAUAUAUAUAUAGAUGUACUCAUUCAUCGAAUAUGAAAUUUGAUGUAUAGAGAUCCGAGUUUAGAAAAAAAUUACAAUAUUAUUAUUUAGUAUUGUUUCGAGUCACGAUAUAUAUAUAUUAUAUAUAUUUAUUUUAUAAACAUCCUUUGAAAUAUUAAUGUAAAUAUAAAAUAGAAGUCAUGGAUAGGCGUGCAGAUAUGAAAUAAAAUGAAAUAAUUAUUUACUAAUCCAACUUGUAAUAACAUAAUAAAUAGCAAUAAUAAUACAUAUGAAUCAAAAUUAAUUUACAUGUUGACAUUAAUUCGGUUAUAUAAAGAAAAGGUAAACCUAACAAUUUGAAACUAUGGAAAAUAAGAUGUUGAACUAGAAGAAUCCUAAAGUAAUGCUCACAUGUUGAAUUGAAGACUAUACAAUUACAUUAUUUCAUCAUCAUAGUGAACCACUAUAAGAUAGGAGAUUGAACCUCUCACAUUUAAAAUAGAAGAACAUAUCAAUUAUUAUUGAACCAAGUUCACUUUACAUUUAUAAGAAGUAGUAUGUAUUAAAAUUUUGUUUAAACUGAAUUGUAAUUAAAAUGAAAAUCCUAUCAUAAAAUUAUAUGGCGUGAAUAGGUUAUUUUGUUUAGUUUUACCUAUUUUUUUCACAUAUUCAAUAAUCAAACUAUCACAAAAGUGUGGGUCUAUAAAAAGAUAAUAGUGAAAAUGGAAGAUUAGUAGUUUUAAUUGAAUUUAAUACACAAAAGAGGAGAAAUAGGUAAUUAAGAAAAGUAAAUAUCAAUAUACUAAAAAGUAAAAGAAAUAUGGGCAAUGGAUUGUUUAUUCAAGCGGGAUUAAGAGAAGCCACUCAUGGGAUGCCACGUGUGAAAGAUCCAUUGCCGACAUUUUGGUGUUAUAUUUGUAGAGGUCUCCGCGUUGGCCGACAUUUCAAUCAAAAAAGUGGUCGGCAGAUAAAUACCACGUGUCGUUCAUCUAAGCAUCCACGUGAAGUUAUUCUUUUUUAUUUUUUGAUUUUUUGAUUUUUUGAUUUUUGUCGUGUAGUGGAAAAUGUGGGAUUUGAGUCCAAAUUUUGAUGCAUGACUUUAUGUAAUAUCUAAACUCAUAUGUGGUUAUAAUUGAUUUAGCCAUAAAUUAAGCCUUUCAAUUUGCACCAUCUAACCCAACUUUAAUUUACAUACUAAAUCUAAUAAAUCAUCUCUCCUUAUUUCAAUCUCAAUUCCCUUUAAUUGCCUCUAUUCUUUCUUUACCUAUAUUUGUUCAUCCUAAUUAAGGAAUUCUCUUAUGUAAGGUAACAAAUAAAAAAAGCAAUAAUCUAAAUCUAAUCAUUCCAUCAUAUAUUAUUUUAGUUUAAGAAUAAAAUAGUAAAAUAGUAAAAAAACUAUAGCAAAUAAUAGGGAGUUUGAAAUAAUAUUUGUAGUAGCUAAUUGAGAGUUUUAAAAUAGUAUUUAUUGUAACUAAAGAUUGUCAGUAUAGUUUUAUAUAAUCCUCGUCCCAAAUGACAUGUAACAUGUGAUUGAAGUAUAAUUAUACACAUUUUUUAAUUUUUUAAUUUUUGAAUAAGUAUUCAUUGAACGUGAUCUCAUCGAUAUUUUAAUUUGGUCGAAAUUUCCAUAGAAGAAAGAAUAUACGAUUAUAAACUUAAUCAAAUCAUUAAAAAAAUAUAGAGUACUAUCUCCAUGAAAAUUCAUGGAUAUCAAUGAUUACACCCACCAAAAGAAGUAUCUAUCUUUUUAUAAAGAGUGUUGUAUUCGUCAGAGUUGAGGUAUCCCGAGUUGUGUUACAAACAGUUUAAUAACACAGAAGAAAAAAAAGCAUAGAUAAAUAUUUAUUCAUGUAAUAAUUGAUCUCCAGAUAUGUGGAAAAAUGAAAGGCAGAUUGAGUUUUUAUGUUUUUGUUGUUUCGUAGUAUUUUUCUUUAAAACGUUAAGAGAAAAUCAAAUAUUGAGUAAAAAGAGGAAAGUAUUGUUUAAGAAUUUAUAUUUUGUUUUUCGUCAAGAGUAUAUAGUGAUAGAAAUGAGAAAAAAGAGAAUUAAAAGGAGGAAAAUUCUUCACGUGAUGAGCAUCGAAUUCCUGGUCCAUGAUAUAUUCUUCAACAUAUAGCCCUUUUACCCUCUCAUAAUUCACUCUUUCUUCAAACUCAAGAUUUCCAAUCUAAACCCUUUUGAUGACUUUAAGUAGUGCUGUGAUUUAUGCACUUACAAUGAUCGUCUUCUUUAUCUCGUAAACAUAGGGUUUUGGUUUUUCUUUUAACAAUAGGGUUUAGUUGGUCAAAUGAGGUUUUGUGUUCAAGUCCAUGCGGUGCGAUACUAUAUUAUUCCCUCUCCAAUUAAAAUUGAUUCACAUGUCGUGUGUCUUCUCACGUAUCGACAUAAUUUAACUUGCUUAAUGAAUAUUAAUUGAGAGAGCAAAUAACAAUGCAAGAAGUUAAACACAUAACUGCGUUUGGACCAUAUGUUGCUCUAACCAUUUUAAAUUGUUGAUUGAUUUAAAAACUUAAGUUAGAAUUAUGUGAAACUUAAACGAAUUUAAUCCUAUAUCAUCUAAACCAUACCGUGCAUUUAUUCAAAAGUGGUAAAGUAUAAAAAAGAGGUAGGGAUUUGAUGUUAGUCAUGCAUAUAUAUAACUUUAUUUUGCUUAGUUUUCACGAUAUUGCUUGAGGCUUCCUCUUCAAUCUUUUAGUCUCUCCCUCAUUAAUAUGUGUAUAUAUAUAUAUAUAUAGACACAACCAAACUUUUUUCUUUUCUUUUCCCUUCUUUUCUUUCAUUAUUAGUACUCUUUUCUUCUUUUGCUUUUUCCUUCUGCUUCUUCUUCUUUCUUUCUCUUCACUUUAUUAUGCUUAUAUGAAUAAAGAAAAAUUAGUGUAUGUGAUUUUUGUUUUUACAACAAAUUAUCUCAAUAUUUAAAUGAAUGAGUUUGACAAUUUUACUCUAGAUUUCUUUUAGGGCGUUUCUGUGUUUGGGUCGUUGGAAUGCUUUUAAUUAGGAUUGGUUGAAUAUAUGCUUGACCAUUCAAAAGUAAGAUUUAUUAUUAUCAACACAACCAACUUGCACCACACAAGGAGAUUGGAAUUUGCCAACACGGCAAACUGCCAGGAAUUUAGCUACAUGUGACGUCGGAAAGGUUAUCGCAACAUUGUUUUAAUCAUCAACAAUUUGGCCAAGGGAGGAGACCCGUCUAGCAGAGAACAAAUGUCGAUGCCUGCCACAUGGUGUUUGGGAGUAAUGCUCAUAAUACACUGACACAAUUAUAUCAUUGGAAGUUAUAUGUUCAGUCCCCUAAUGCCUCUAUGAAGGUAUCAAGAUCUAUUCUAAAUUGUCGACGCUUUAUUUAAUCGUUGAUAGAAGUUGUUUAUCUCAACAAUUUACUUUUGAUGUGUUUUAUGUAUGAUGACAAAUACGUUUUUCUUUUUUCUUUUUAGUAUUGUGCAAGUGUUCAAAACUUAAGUGAAAGAGUGUGUCAUCUCCCAACUCAGUAUCUUUCAUCAUCAACCUAUUUACCCAAUCCUUUUUCGGAACUUGAAUUUGAAUAUUUGGUUUUUACAAUCUGAAAAUGUCUGUUUGAAUCACUAAAAUCUCGUUUAGUAAUUAUUUUAUAUUUAGUAUUUUUUGUUUCGAUAAUUAAAUUUAUUUUUUCUUUUCUUCUUACAAUGAUUUACAACUUUUGAAUUUUUAAUCAAAUUUAAAAAACAAAAACAACUUUUUAAAAGUUACUUAUUUUAGAUUUCAAAAUUGAGCUUAGUUUUUUUAAAACAACUAGUAAAUAGUAUAUAACAAAUAAUGAAAUUUAGAUGUGGAAGUGAUGUAGAUAGACUUAAUUUUCAAAAAGAAAAAUCGAAAAAAUAAGAUGACUACCAAACGAGUCCACAAUUUUUUAUCAAUGUCAUAACCUAAGGGUUCAUAUAACAAAGUAUCUUGGUAUUGGUGAAUGAGUUAAUUUAACCAUAUAGUAACUAAAUCUCCAUCUUAUUUUGUCAAUAUUGGAGUAACUCCAAAUUUUUGUAAGAUUUUUAGUCAUUCAAAUAAUACAAAUACUAUGUAUGAAAAAAAUCAUUAACUCAAAUCACAUAAAUACUUUAUACUAAUACUUGGGUAUAUGAAUUAUUCUUCCAUACAUCAAUUAUCAUACAGUUUCUUUUCCAUAAAAGUACCAUUUAGAUAAUCCAAAAAUUACACCUAUAUAAGUUUGGAUGUAUUUUGGAAAAUCCAUCGGAGGAUGACACUCUGUUAGGGGGAAGGCCCAUUUGUACAAACCCCAAUUUAUUGGGCUUUUAAAUUUUCAACAUCGGCUCAUUUGAACAAGCCCAUCUUUAACUAUAAUUUGGGCUUUCGUAAAAUAAUAAAUAUUGAUAAAACUAAUUAAGGAAACCCAAAUUUUUUGUUAAAUAAUUGUUUGAUGCUAUAAUUGGAGGAGAUUGUGGUUAAAGCUUAUGUAAUUAAGGUAUUGGUAACAAUUGUUUUAUUAUUUAAUUGGUAAUAUUAUAUUAUCUCUUUACGAGAAAAAAUCAAGGUUGCUAGUGCACUAUUUGAAGCAUAUGUAGUCAACAUAUGUGAUGAUAUGUUCAACUAAUAACCUAAAUUUUCUAUAGCAUAUGACUAAAGUUGGAUGGAUUAUCGUAUCAAUACUAUUAUAUUGAUAUUGUCCAUUUUAUAAUAAUUACAAAUGAUUUGACCUAAACCGUUCAUAUGAAGACAUGUGAGUACCAAGGAUAUCUCUGCAGACACAAAUGUUAUAUCUCUCUUUGCAACUUUAUAAAGCGAGAAGAUAAAAAUUAAUAUUUCACAAGACGACAACCAUAAUCCUAAGACAACCAUAAUAUUUCACCCUAUCAUUAGUUCAAGAGAGACUUGAUUUAUAAUUGAAUCUAAAACGGUUGUUCAUAAAAGUCAAUAGAUCUUUUAAAGAUGCAAUAAUAGUAUUUAUAAUUGCAUAAUAAAGUGUUCAUUGUUAUUGAUCAAUAUAUGUAGACAUACCACAUGAACAUAUCUCUUGAAAAAGAACAAAUAUUGUUAAUCAGCGGGUCGCUAACGAGUGACUUGACUUUUUUGUAUCAAAUGCUAAGGAGUGUCCAAACAAUACAUUGAUGUGUCAAAAUAUUUUAACAAACUUUUAAAAAAUAAAACGCCGUAUUUAAAUAAUAGAAUUCAAAAGGGGUAAAAUAGAGAAUGUAAUUUAGUAUAUUUAGUCCUCUUUUUGUUUCUCUAUGAUUGUUAUUUGUAAAUAUAACUUUUCUCCCUCACUAUCUCUUCAAAUCUCUUGAGGAUAUUUCUUUACUUCCUUUCUAUUAGUUCAUAAAUAUGAAUAUAAUUAAAAGUUUGAAAACAGUACUUUUAAUUUAAAAUGAAAAAUAAAAACAAAAACUAUUCCUAUCACUAAAUGGAAAUAAAAAGUUUAUAAUGAUUUUAGUUUAUCAAAUUCCAAAUUCUAGAAUAUUAUUUUUCUAACAAUUUCUCCUUUUCUUUUUCAAUAAUGUAAAAUGAAUAUUUUAUUUUUUAAAAAUAAUUAUCAAGUAAACUUUUCAUCUUUUUAACCAACCCAUAUUAUACAUCAAUUUUACAAUAUAUAUUUUUAAUUUUGAGUGAAGAAGGUAAAAAAAAAAAGGUAAUUAAGAUAUAUUUAUUUUCCAAAAUAGAAAAAAAAAAAAGGAAAAACAAAAAAGAAGAAUGUGUACGGAUCUAAACUCUAUAAUUCAAACCUUUGCUCAAAUGGUGAACUUUUGAAAAAAGAAAAAGCAACAACAUUUACUUAAAAGGAUCCCCAGAUAUAAAGUUUAGAGUAUGAAGUGAUAAUUGAUUCAAUUAAUACUUUUUGUCCAAAGAAAAUAAAACAAAUUGAUUACUUACUUGUUUAAAUCUCCAUCAUUGAAGACUUGAGAAAGUGUUUUAAAAUUUAUAAUGGAAUUGAAAUAUUUUAUAAUGUAAUAGCAUUUUGAGUUUAAAUCGUAAUAUGAAACUCAUUUCAUUUUGACAGUAUGUAAUUAUUGUGUUAUCAACUCAACACACAUUCCAACGUUUAUCUAAUCUAAUUGUGUUGAUUAAUGGGUAUAUAAGAAUCCUUCCUCUCACUUUUACAAAGCAAAAUUAGAAAAAGAAAAAGGCAAAACUUUUGACCUAUUUUUUUUCUUUUUUUUCUAAGGUUUUAUCAAAGAUAAUGCAAUUACUUUUUGGGCCACUAAUUUAGAGGAGAUUUGAGUCACUUCUCAUUAAAAGUAUGUAUUCUCAUCAUGGAAAUUUUUGGGAAGGGUAACAAACUUUCAUUUAGCUUUUUGUUUCCCUUUUUUCUAUUGCUUCAAGGAAAAAGAAAAAGAAAAAGAAAAAAAAAGAUUAGCUUUUGGAUUUUUUUUCCCUUUUUUUCUUUUAAUCUUUCUUUUUAAUUACUUUUGUUUUCUUUUUCCCUUCCUUUUAAUAAAAACAAUGGGAAAAGGAAAAGGUGAAGUGGCUUUCCUAAUGAUUCUAUAUUUUUUAUGGUGUGUUUCUUUAUGUUAUAAUAUGAAAUUGGUUAAAAUAUGGCUUUUCUCUCCGUUUAGUUUUUAUGUUUUACAAGGAUUAAAAAUGAUAUUUUAACCAAUGAAAUUGAUGUUUUGUACUUAGUUCGACAACUCGAUUUUUAUUAUUUAAAUAUUUUUUAGUUCAUCACGGGAGGUAUAAAUUUGAAUAAGGGGUGAAAUUAACGCAAAUUACUCAUGAACUAAUUAAUAAAUUAAACUAGUAAAAACUUGAGCAAAUAGUCACAUAAUGUUACAAUGCAGCUCAUUAGAGAUUGUUCUCUAUUUUGACCAAAAUCUUUCGAAAAUGAAGUAGUUUUGUGUUGUGUUGGUGUUUCAUUGAAUUGAUGUUAAAUGGCCUUGAUUCUUGUGCUAUCUUCCCAACACCCCCACUUACAAAGGCUACUUGAAAAUUAAAUGAGUGAUAAGAUCUUCACAUCCUUUGCUUGGUUGGCAGCUCUUAUAAAUAUUUAAUGAUCCUUUUCCAAAGGGGACACCCACACCCCCCCUUUUCUUUUCUUUUUUUUUCUUUCUACUUUCUUUUCUAAUAAAUAAAUAAAACACACAGUCACUCUCUCACAAAGUCCUUUUCAUUUCAAUGUAAUGUCCCUUUCUCACAGAUAGUAUUUUAUCUCAAUUCUAUUAUCUCCCUCUCAUUUUCAUUUUUUUUUUUUUAUAUAUUUCUACCCUUUCUAUUUUCCCUUCUUUAUGUUUGCAUCUAAUUUAAAUUACUAUAAUGAUAUUUGCUAUGUUCUAUAAAUUAGAUGUUGAAGUUUUGAAUUGUCAUUCUCGCAGUUGGAUAUGCAUUACAUUUGGUUUUAAAAUAGUUAAAACUACUUUGGUUAUAAAGACUAAAACGGGUAUGGUUUUUAUAUGAAUUUUCUGGCAGAAAAAGGUAUGUUCUGAAAGCUCAAAAAGUUCAAAUAAAAUGCAUACAAAUAUUUUACAAAACUUCAUCAACAAAUAGAAUAAACCUAAAAGUUAUGUAAAACCUAGUUGAAAAUAGAAACCCCCAUCAAAGAUACAUUGCUGUUCUCAGUUAGUGGCAGAGGCAAUGGAAAGAAUAGAAAUGACAGAUACUAAACUGUGGAACAAAAAAACACAUCAUAAACCUUAUGUACCAAAUUUCUUCCGAGCUUUCAGAGAUUUAUAAACAGCUUUUAAGAUUAAAAACAAAAAAUACAUUUUUAUGUGCUCUGAUGGAAAAUCUAUAAAAGAGAAUAAAAGCUUCCAGUUUUUGCUUCCAAAAUUUGAGGAGUAUCCCUAAAAUGGCCUUUGCUAUCUGCAUUAGUUGUUUCUGAAGUUUCAAAAACACUACCUUUCGAAAUGUUUUCCUUUGGAUAUGGAUGAAUUCCAAAUGUGGUCCAUAUAGGACUCCUUGAAGCCUCGCUUGGGUUAUCCACUCGUAACGUCUUUGGAACCACCACGCAUUUCUCUGACUUCUCGUCCUCUGCUAGGCUGUUUGUAUCUCUCAAAUGCUUACCGAGUGUAGGCGAUGAGCUUGUGGGGCAGGUGGAUGUUUGAGAUGCACAGACAUCAGAAGGAACAACGGUUAAAUUCCCAGUACCGGUAGAAGUCCAUACGGGCGUACAACCCCAGCAUGAGGCUGGGACGAAUUGUAAUGGAAGGCUUGGAGUGCAAAACCCUGGAACUGCCAGCACUGUUGCUGGGAGCCAUUGAACUGGUGGAUUGGGAUGACUGCUAGUAUUUGGUACACUUGUGCUAUCUGAGCUUUGGGUCAUUGCUGAUGAAAUUAGGCUGCUUCCGCCCUGAUUCAAUGGAAAAACCAAUUGUGGAACGGGGUAACAAUGAACCGUAUUUGAUGCAGUGAUAUCACUACUAGAGUUGGACAAUCUAACUGCCUCUGGCCUCUCGAUGACACUUUUAGGCAAUUCGUUUCCACGAAUACUAGUAGUUGUCAUGGAAGAUCCGCAUGAGGAUGGUUCUUCAGGACUGUCUCCACAAUAUGCAGACCCAAUCUCAAUGGAUCUCUUCUGAUCUCCAAGACUCAGCACAGUCUCCAUCGAUUCACAAAGUGGUGCUUCGGGUCCAAACUUUAGGACAGUACUACUUCCAUUGGAAGGCCUCAAAGCAGAAGGAGACUCGAUAUUCGAGAGUAGAUGAUGGUGAUUUGUUGCAUCCGAAGUUUCCAAGCGGGUUGUAGCAACUCCCUCGGAGGAUACUAUUAUCUGUCGGUAUUGAGAUGCCAACUGCUUGUUUCUUCGUCGUCCAGCACCAAUAGGAACGUUUCUCAUCGUCCCACCAGCAGUCCAAUAUCUUUGGCAGUUCUUGCAGAAAUGCCUAGGUUGAUUGACAUUAUAGUUGUUGAAGUAACAAAAUUUUGUUUCCAAACUAUUACAUCUAGGACAAGGAAUGAUUUUGUCUGGCUUCUUAAAUGCUCUUUCUUGAUCCGUGCCAUUACCAUCCUCCUGCUCUUCUUUCAAAUGUAGUUCUGAUUCUCCCUUGUUUGACGUCACGUUCGAAGCUUGGUUUUCUUCAUUAUCCCCUACCAAUACCGAAGACCUCUCUGAUGGGCAAGAGUCUUCUGCACCUGAGACUGACUGCUCAGCUUUUUUCAAAUUGUUGCAAGCAUCCUGAAAACAGUAUUCAACAAAUUGACACUUAACAACAGUCAGAAAAGAGAAGCACACAAUCGACAUACGUCGAAAAAAAAGCCAAGAAGUGUAUCAAAAUCUACAAGGAGAUGGGAUUUUACAAAACAAGACCUCAGAGCCCUUCCCAAAUAAGGUAAAAAUUACAUUCAUUCAAGAAAGAUAGUACAAUAUGCAACACGAAUGAAAAGAUACAAGGAAACAUGAUAUAAAUGAACAGAACACUUCCAUUAAGGAAUCAAUCUUCAUCAAACAUUUUCAGCAGCUCCAGAUAUUCACAAGAGAACUUCAUUUAACCCUCAAUGGAUCCACUACAAACUGAACCAAAAAAACCAUCUGAAUUCCACAUUCAAAUUUGGCUAAAAACAGUUCUCCUAAUGAACUUCUUCCAAAACCACAAAGUUGGGAAAGGAACAGUAAAGUCAACCAAGGCCACAAAAACAUUACAAGAACAAAUCUAAACAAAAUCAUAUAUUGAAGUUAAAACCCAAUAAGGGCCCCAACCCAAAUGCUUAGAGAACCCAAAAAAACAUAUACACACAAUGAAAAGAAGAGUUGAAAUGAGAGUAGAAGAGGGGGAAAGAGACAACUCAAUAGAAGAAGAAGAAGAAGAAAAAGAAGAAGAAGAAGAAGAAGACCAAGAAUAUGAAUAAGACAGUUAAAUGAGCAUUUCAAUAAUCUUUUCCAUGUCCCACAAACACACACACACACACACACACACACAGUAAAGGCAUUUUUCAGAUUAAACCCAGAAAGCAAGAAGCCAUCAAAAUAAAGAGAGAAUGAAGGAAAGGGGAGGAAAUAAAAUAGGUACCGGAUUAUGAAGAGGGGCGGCGGAAAUCUGGGAUUCCGGCAAAGGGAUGGUCCGACCGAAGAGUUUAAUGGCGAGAUCCUUGAAAUGUGGGGGGGAAAUGACAUCCUGUGUAGUAGAACUGGACAUUUUGAAAAAUGGGUUGUUAAUGGAGAGUAGUUUGAUUGAGAAAGUGGGAAGGUUUGGAGGUGAAAAUCAAUGGAAGAAGACCCAUUCAAAUAUAGAGAGAGGUUAUGAAGGAGGGAGAAGGAGAAGGAGAAGAAGAAGAAGAAGAAGAA